RNAcentral lists this long non-coding RNA (57643 nucleotides) under Vitis vinifera (wine grape). RNAcentral describes it as "long non-coding RNA (VVIN_LNC000377)". The record is from RNAcentral. Lineage: Eukaryota; Viridiplantae; Streptophyta; Magnoliopsida; Vitales; Vitaceae.
GAUGGGUUUAAUGUGCCUAUGGCCUUUAACCCUACCUCCAAUGGGUGCACCCGUGGGAUACGGUGCACGGCCGACAUCGUGGGACAGUGCCCCAGUCCGCUCCAAACUCAGGGUGGCUGCAAUAACCCAUGCACCGUUUUCAAGACCAAUGAGUACUGUUGCAAUUCCGGGAGCUGUGGCCCGACAGAUUACUCAAGGUAUUUCAAGACUAGGUGCCCUGAUGCUUACAGCUACCCUAAGGAUGAUCAAACCAGCACCUUUACAUGCCCUGGUGGUACCAACUAUGAAGUUAUCUUCUGCCCAUAAAGCCUCUAUUAACUAUAGUAUGCAUGUAUUCGCCAGUCUAAACUACUAGGGUGCUUUUGAGUCCAUGUUGAGAUGCAAAAGUCUAAGGAAUAAAUUUGAGCACAUGUAUGUGUACUGAAUGUGCUCAUGCAACAACUUUUCUACGCUAGUAGAAUAAAUGGAUGUUUUUAUGAAUCUUUGGGACUUUAUGCAUUUCAUUAAGAAAGUAUUUUAUCGUUAUUAUAGGAAAUAUUUUUAGUCUUUUUAAUAUUUAAAAAAUAAAAAAUUUUAAAUAUUAAAAAAAGUAGCAACACUUCCUAAAAUUAUUAGGAAAUCAUUACCAAUGGUUAAUUUAGAGUCUUUAGACCACUGGAAUGGAGGUUUCAAGGAAGAAAAAAAAAAAAGAAAAGGUUUGACUGGGAGCAUAGCUUUGCUGACUGACCUCACUCCCAAAUCAAUUUUCCAUGUGGUGGAAGACACGAUGGGUAGGCGGCUGUUAAUGGAGAGUUUGGAGUUUCCCCACCCACUUUCAAUUAUAUCCAUUUACAUGGAAAUAUAUAGGAAAAGAAAAAAAUUUAAUAUUUUCAAAUUUUAAAAUUUUUCGUCAAAAGCAUCUCCUUUCGAUUGUUAUAUUAAAGAUUUUGUGAUUUCAAAUCUUUUCUGGUUUAAGUGCUGAAUUCACCCUAAAGAGUUUGCCUUUUUUUUUUCUUUUCUUUUUCUGUCCCUAUUUAAUAUAUAUAAUUAUGUAGAUUUUCUAUUUUGUAUUUCAUAGUACAUAAUUUUGAUAAUAUUUAAUGUCUUUUGCUUGAUUCCCUGCAUAGCACGUGGGUAGGAUUAUUUUUGGCUUUCAAAUCUGCUUGCAUCUUCAAUGUAGCCUUCAUGAUUUCAUUGAACUGAAGUGGAUAGGACGAGCUUGAGUUAUUCGUAAUGGUGCUGUCUGGCCUUGCUGCACAUCUAUCUACGACCAUCAUAUACUCAGAGCAGUAAUGGUGCUGUUUGGCCUUGCUGCACAUCUGAUCUACGACCAUCCUACACACUAAGAGCACUAAACUUACUAGCAAAGAUGAAAAUAUCGGUAAUCACGUAUAUAUCGGUACUUCGAUCUCACGGAUAUAUCGACGGAUAUUUUGAAAAAUAAUAUCGAUAAAUCUAAAAUUAAUUAAAAUUUAUAAAAAUAUAAAAAAAAUUCAUAAAAAUGUAAUUAAAAGUAUAUUGCUAUUUUUAAGUUGUUUUAUUAAAUAAUUUGAUAUAUGUAUAAUAUCGUAUGGAUCGAUAAAAAUAUGAAUUUUAUAAAUGUACAUUUAUUAUUAAAUUACAUAAUAUUAUGAUAUUUGAUUGUAAUAUAUCUAAUUUUAAAAUAUAUAUUAAUAUUAAAAUUAUGAUCCAUUUAAUUCAAUUGUAUUAAACAAUAUAAAAUAAGUUAUGAUAUAUGUAUAAUUUUUAAAUAUUUAAUUAAUUAUUAAUGAUAUUAAAAACAUUAUGAAGAAAAUUAUAUAAUUUUUAUAUUUUUGGUAAUUAAUUAAAAUAAAUUUUUGUAUUUAAUUAUCAAAUAAUUAUAAUUAAUUUGCUCUUUAAAAUAUUCUUUUAAUAUUUUCUUUAGAUAAUGAGUUUAACUAUAUAUAUAUAUAUAUAUAUGUAUAAUGCAUAUGAUAUAAUAAAGGUGAGUUUGCCCAGAUGGUUAGUGGUUUGAACCUCAAACCUUUUGGUUUGGGGUACAAAUGCGAUAUAUCGAUGAGAUAUCAUCGAUUUUUUGGGUUUCUGGAGAAGUAUUGCCGAAAAUAUCGUCGAACCGUGUUGACCCUUUCCGAUACACGAUAUAUCGCAAUAUUUUCCUCCUUAUUAGCAAUGUCCCACCAAAGUUGCGUGCAUUGAAUUGUAUAAUAUCAGGAUAUUUUCCUCCUUGCUCACUAGCAAUGCCCCACCAAAGUUGUGUGCAUUGAAUUGUAUAAUCAAUUGACUGUUCACCUUUAUAUCUUCAAUGACACUAGUUCUAGAGGUGCAUUUUUUGUGUGCAUCCUCAUCGGAUUUAUCAGUGAAAAUUUGAUUUUUGAAAAAAGAAAAAAACAGUUGAAGUUCCUCUUUAUUUUAGUUUUUUUUAAAAGAAAAACCAAAAUAAGAAGAAAACCGUUCCAAAUUCUUUGGAAAAGAUAUAUAUGUAAAAAUUGAAUUUAGACUAAAAGAUUAGUCAUUUAUUGGAAAAGUACCAUGGUGAUGUGUAACAUUUCUUCAUGCUCAUACAUAUAUGUCUUUACUAAAUGAAUAAAAGAAACUAUAACGAUUAAUUAAUUAAUCAUAGAUACCAAGAUUAAGAACACAAAUCAAUAUACAAACCAAAAUAAGAAGAAAAUCGUUCCAAAUUCUUUGGAAAAGAUAUAUAUGUAAAAACUAAAUUUAGACUAAAAGAUUAGUCAUUUAUUGGAAAUGUACGAUGGUGAUGUGUAACAUCUCUUCGUACUUAUACAUAUAUGUCUUUACUAAAUGAAUAAAAGAAACUAUAAUGAUUGAUUAAUUAAUUAUAGAUACCAAGAUUAAGAACACAAAUCAAUAUACAAAAAAAAACGAUAAAAUCAAAUUAAAAUAAUACCCGAAAUAAAUGACACGAGAAUUUUACAAAAUAAUUUAUUAAACAAAUUAAAAAUAUAUAUAUUUCUAAAAAAUUAUUUUUUUAANNNNNNNNNNNNNNNNNNNNNNNNNNNNNNNNNNNNNNNNNNNNNNNNNNNNNNNNNNNNNNNNNNNNNNNNNNNNNNNNNNNNNNNNNNNNNNNNNNNNNNNNNNNNNNNNNNNNNNNNNNNNNNNNNNNNNNNNNNNNNNNNNNNNNNNNNNNNNNNNNNNNNNNNNNNNNNNNNNNNNNNNNNNNNNNNNNNNNNNNNNNNNNNNNNNNNNNNNNNNNNNNNNNNNNNNNNNNNNNNNNNNNNNNNNNNNNNNNNNNNNNNNNNNNNNNNNNNNNNNNNNNNNNNNNNNNNNNNNNNNNNNNNNNNNNNNNNNNNNNNNNNNNNNNNNNNNNNNNNNNNNNNNNNNNNNNNNNNNNNNNNNNNNNNNNNNNNNNNNNNNNNNNNNNNNNNNNNNNNNNNNNNNNNNNNNNNNNNNNNNNNNNNNNNNNNNNNNNNNNNNNNNNNNNNNNNNNNNNNNNNNNNNNNNNNNNNNNNNNNNNNNNNNNNNNNNNNNNNNNNNNNNNNNNNNNNNNNNNNNNNNNNNNNNNNNNNNNNNNNNNNNNNNNNNNNNNNNNNNNNNNNNNNNNNNNNNNNNNNNNNNNNNNNNNNNNNNNNNNNNNNNNNNNNNNNNNNNNNNNNNNNNNNNNNNNNNNNNNNNNNNNNGAUUUUUACUUACUUUUAUUAGAAAAUAAUAAAUUUUUACAACUUUAUUUAGAAAAAAUAUUUUUAUUUUAUUUUAUUUACAAAUGAAUUAAUUUAUUUACAAAUGAAUUAAUUUAUUUACAAAAAAAAAAUAUUUUUAAUCUAAUUUUAUAAAAAAAAUGAUUUUUACAACUUCAAUUUACCAAAAAAAACUUUCAUUUUAUUUUUAUUAAAAGGACAUCGAAGACCUUUAUUUAUGAAAAUUACUUAUAAUCUUAUUCCAAGGAAAGAGAACUUAUUUAAAUAUCAUUUUUUUUUGGAUAAUUUUAUUAAAGAAAAAACUUUUGGGCAAUUUUAAUUAAACAAAAUAAAUUUUCACACAAUUAUUAUUAAAAAUAAUUAAAUACAAGUUUUUGAAUUCCUUUAAAAACAUUUUUUGAAUUUUUUAUAAAACUUUUUAGAACUAUUAUUUUAUUAAAAAUUAUUUACCAAAUUGUAUUUUUGGUUUGUUCAAUACAAGUGAAUAUUUAUAGAAUCAAUAGAAAUAAAACCAAAUAAAAGUAGAAAAUAAAAUGUGUACACAACAAGCUUUCAUCCUUCUUUUUCUAUGUGAAAUUCAACCCUUCAUGUGUCACACAUCCAUACUCAGUCAAUACUCAAUAGAAUACCAAUGCAAGUAAUGUAAUGGGUCCAUGCAAAACAAAAAUGAAUCAGUCCAAAACAAAUAUUCAAAUCCAAAUUUUAGAAGCCAAUAACAAAAUUCAAAUUGGUCCAAUGAAUUUCACCAAUGAAAAUAAACUCAAAUUAACAAGUAUAACCCAACAAAAAUAUUUCAUUUACUAUAAGCAUUAAUUCAAAAAUUUCAAAUUAAUAACUAAUAUAUAAGCACAAUCUAAUAUCCUUCAACAAGCAACAAAUCAAAAGAUUUUCAAUUAAAUCCAAAUUUAAUAUUUCAUACUCCAAACUCAAUUUAAUAGGCAAACCCAAAUCAAUAACCAAAAUCAAAUUAAAUAAUUCAUGAGCAAAACCCAUAUCAAAUAUCAAUCAAUCCAACAAAUUUUACCAACAACAAAAAUAGCUUAAAUUCCAUAUUAAUUAAUAAACUCAAAACAUGACAAAUCAAAAUAAAUUCAAUCAAACCUAAAUUCAAUAUCUUUAAUUCAAGCCUAAUUUAACACUCAAAUCCAAAACCCAAUAAUCACCGAAUCCAAAUAAAACAUAAACUAACAAACCCAAAUUUAUGAAUACAAAUCAAAAUACAAGGUACAAAAUGAUAUCCAGAUUAUCUAAGCUUACAAAUAAUGUCCCGAUCAAGUAAAUGCAAACAUGAAAAUAAUAAAAAUUAGUCCAAACCAACAAUCUCAAUAAUCAAGAACAAAUUAUUGUAGUAAUUAAACAGAAAUAAUAAAAAUAAAAGGACAUAAAAUUACCCGGAACCCAUUGUAGUAAUUAAACAGAAAUAAAAAAAAUAAAAGAAAAUAAAAUUACCCAAAUUUGAAGUAUAUUGUUGAAGGGUUGAUAGAGGAGAAUGAAAAUAAAAAUAAAAUUAAAAUGAAAGAAGAUGAGAAGGAAAGAAAGAGAAAAUGGUGAGAUGGGAGACAGGUCGAAAGGGAGAAAGAGAGGGGAAAGGGGGGUCGCCGGUCGGCUAGUCACCGCCGCAGCAGAUCACUGACGGUGACUGACGGGGCCGUGUUGCCGAUAGUACGGGUUUAGUGAAUGUGGUGAGGGAAAAAUGAAGAAGAAAAGAAGAACACAAAGGAAGAUAAAAAAAAAUACAAAGAAAAAAACGAAAAGGAAAGAAGAAAGGUGGGGCAUGUUCUCUGGAAGUGGGUCUGGGGGGAGAAGAAGAAGGGGAAAAAAAUGGGGAAAAAAAAAAAGAAAAAGAAAGAAAAGAGAGGAAAAAAGGAAGAUAAAAUGGAAGAGAUGAGAGUGGGGGGUAUGGGUUCUCUGACGUGGGAAUGGGCAGGAAAGAGAGAGUUGAGAGAAUGGGUGGAGUAACUGGCAGAAAAAGAAAAAGAAAAGAAAAUGAAAGAAAAGAGAGGAAAAAAGGAAGAUAAAAUGGAAGAGAUGAGAGUGGGGGGUAUGGGUUCUCUGACGUGGGAAUGGGCAGGAAAGAGAGAGUUGAGAGAAUGGGUGGACUAACUGGCAGAAAAAGAAAAAGAAAAGAAAAGAAAAGAAUAGAAGAAGAAAGAAAAUGAAAGAAAAUGAGAGGAAAAAAGGAAGAUAAAACGGAAGAGAUUUAAAAUUAAAUAAAAUAUAAAAUAACAAAAUAAUAAAAUUUAAGAUUUAAAAUGUAUAAGUAAGUUAAAAAAAUUCAAAUUAAGAUUUAAAAGGUAUAAGUUGAUCAAAAAAUUUAAAUUAAGAUUUAAAAUGCUUGUAUGGGUAAAAAAAAAUCAAAUGUAAUCGAUUUGAAAUAUAAGAAUAAAAUUAAACUUAAAAUUAAUAUAAAACAAAAUUUAGGAAAAAUUUUAGGAUUACAAAAAGUAAGAGUAUGGUACAAAAUUAUUUUUAAAAAUAAUUUUUAUUAUUUAAAUAAAAAAUUAUCUAAAAACAUUAAUUUAUUUUUUUAAAAUAAGAAAUAGUUUUUAUGAAUUUAUUCUUAAAAUGAGAAGAGAGUGUUUAGAAUAUAUUUUUUUCACUUAUUUUCUAAAAAAGUAUUAUAAAAAUCAAUUUAAUAAAUAUGAAGAAUAAUUAAAAAUAAAAUAUUAUAUACAAAAGUUAUUUUAAAAAAUAUAUUAAAAAAAUUCAAAUUUCUAAAUGGACUUUUCUAUUAAAAAAUAUUAAAAAUUGUUUGAAGCAUAUUUUCAAAAAUAAUUUUUCUCUUUAGAUUUCAAAAAUAUUUCCAAAUAGAUUUUAACAUAUCGUUUCAAAGUGAUUCUAAUUAAAAUAUUUUGAUUUAUAUUUUUUAAUUCAAAAUAUAUUGUUCAACUUUUAAAUAUAAAACCAAUUCAAAAAUAUCCUCAACACAUAUUAUUUAAUCAUAAAAAUUCUCAUAAUUUUUUUACUCUUCAAAUACUUUCCAACAAAGAUCAAAAGUCACAUGCGAGUGUAGAUACAAUAAGAUUCUUCCAACAAAUUUCAAAUGCAAGUGACAUACAUAUUUCAACACUCCCCCAACAUAAUUCACAAGAAUAAUUUCUCAAUAACACAAAUCUCAAUUUCUACUAAAUAUCUAUAUCAAAAUAAAUAGAAAAAAUAUAUAUUUAAGAUAUCCAAAGAUGAUCACACCUAUUUUAGUUCAUUGUUCUUCCAUUCAACUUAUAUCCACAAGUAUUAAAUGAAAACUAAAACUGAAAAUAAAUUAAAGAGUAUAAAAAGAAAAAGAUAGAUAAUGAUAUCAGAAUUUAUGUGGAAAACAUUCAAAAAGAUAAAAAAAAAUAUGGACUUACCACCAAUAAAAAAUUUCACUAUGAAGAACAAGCAAUGUGUAUAAUGAUUUACCUAACUCGAGUCUUUUAAUUUUUCAUAGACUUAACCAACACCUUCUCACUUUAGCCGAAUGCCUUGACCUUUCAAAAUAUACUUGACAUUCUCAUCAAUCUUGAUUUCAACCUCUCCUUGAAGCUUGCUUAAGAAGAAAAAUGAGUUUUUACUCAAUCCCAAAUAGAUCAUAAAAUGAGAGAAAAGAUAUUAACCUUUUUUUUUUCUUAAGAAAAUUUGUUGAAAGCAGCUUUAAAAUCAAUAAGAAAAUGAGAUUUUCUUGGCCACCAAACACCAUAAAUUUGGUAAGAAAAAAAAAAGUACAAGGGCAAAACGACUACUAGUGUCUCCCAUUUCAAAAGGCAAUUUUUGUUUUUUAAGUCAAAAGAAACUUUUAUCAAACGAUUGAAAUAACAUCAAGAAAGUGCAACUUGGAUUGAAUUAACAUAAAGUUGGAUCAAUCCUGGAACAUGACAUUUAAACACUUAACAAAAAAAAAUGCUUCCUAAAUCUCCUUUAACUCCUUAAAAUAUAUAUAUAUUUUAAGAAAAACAACAUUUAAAAAAUAUGGUUGAUUUAAUUUCAUCUAACUCUAACCUCAACUACAUGCUUUCAUCUUUUAGCAAAUCCAACAACUUAAUUUUCAUUAGACAAAUAGUUUGAAGAAGGAUUUGAAAAAUAAUUAUGAUCUAAAACUUAAGGAUUGUCUUUAUGUACUCAAGACUAGAAAGAAUCUUGUUUCAAUUUCUAAUUUAAAUAAAUGUGAUCAUUUAGUUUAUUUCAAUAAAUAUGUUUUUAUUAAAAAGAAUAAUUCAUUUAUUUACUCAAACCCAUAGGUUAACAUUCUCAAUCAUUUUACUUCUAGUUAUAUUCUACCUUAUGUUGAAAACAAUCAUAUCUCACUAACCAAACAUAUUUGUGGCAUUUAUGCUUAGGUUAUAUAAAUCUAAAUAGAAUUCAAAAACUAGUUAAGUCUAAAACAUCGUACUCAUUAGUUCCAAAAAAUCUUUUAGUUUGCGAAUACUGUAUAAAAGGUAAAAUGAUUAAGAGGUCCUUUAUUGCUACGGAGGUUAGAGCCAAAGAAUGUUUAGAGUUAAUGCAUCCUAAUGUGUAUGAACCCUUUAAUGUCCAUGCACGAGGAGGGCAUGAAUAUUGCAUCAUUUUUGUUGAUGAUUAAUCUAUGUAUAGUUAUGUUUAUCUUAUGCAUAAGAAAUCCAAUGUCUUGAAUGAAUUCAAGGGGUGUUUGUUACCUAGGAAUGAGGAGUGGAAAUAGAAAUCUCAUUCAUUCCCUUCUUCAUUUCUAUGUUUGAAUAAAUUUUACGAAUGUAGGAAUGAAAUAAAAAAUGAUUCUAAUAUAAAUCAAAUCUCACUUAUAAGUGAGAUUUCAAUCCAUCACAAGUAGGUGGUAUUCUAAUUCAUUUAUCCAUAAGAAAAUAUAAAAUAGCCUAACAUUACUAUUUUACCCUUGAAUUUCAUUUAUCGAGCUCUAAUGCGUUUUCAUCCCAUAACAAAACCAAUUUUUUUUUAGUUUUAUUAUUUUGCAAAAAAAAAAAAACACUCAAAAAUUAUUAUUUUAAAAUGAAAAUAAUUUUAUUUUUUAAACUAUAUGUAAGGGUAUUAUUGUUAAUUUAUUUAAUUUUCAUUAUCAUUUAUAUUAUUACCAAAACAUUAGAAUGAAAACAAAUAAUCAUUCUAAUAUUAAAUUCCUAGGUUCAUCUAAACACUAGAAAUAAAAUUACCAAAUUCAUUUUCAUUCACCAAAAAUAAGAAUGAAAACAAAAUAUCAAUUUUCAUUUUCUAUUCUUAUGUACCAAAUACCCUUUUAAUGAAUUUAAGGCAGAAUUGGAAAAUCAAUUAGGUAAACACCUCAAGGCAUCGAUCAAAUUGAGUUGGAUGGUACGUGUCUAGUGAGUAGGAUUCUUUCUUGGAAAAGCAUAAUAUUAGGUAAACAUCUAUGAAACAAUCAUUGUUGGAUGUUGAUUCUAAAUGUUUCUUCCCCUUUAUCGAGGUAAGAAAUGUCCACAAAGUAAGCAAGUCGGAGGCUUACUUUUUUUAAAUAAAAAAAGAAAAAAGAAAAUGCAAGACACGUACAAAUUAACACGUUUUUUUAUUUUCAUAAUAUGAAAAUCAUAUAAAAAAAAUAACAAAAUAUAUUUUAAAAUUAUAAUAUAAUUAUAUAUUUAAUAUAUAAAUAAAAUUAAAUAAUGCAAUUUUCCUUCCAUUUUUAAUAUAUAUCUUCAUGUUUAAAUAUUAUACAUAUUUUAUUUAAUAAAAUUUAAAAUAUUUAAACAUUUACAUUUAUGCAUGAUUUAAUUUGACAAUAUUAAAGAUGAAAAAUAAAUGUUAUUGCUUUAAAAAAAAUUUGUAUAUAUUUUAAUUAUUUAUAAUUAUUUUAUUUUAAUAAAAUAUUAAUUAUAUAUUUAUAAUGUGAUGGCAACAUUUCAACCCGAUCAAUGAUGGAAUGAUGAAAACAUUGAUCUUAUCCGAUUUUUGCAUGAACAAAAGGCGCAAAAGUUCUAUUUAGCCUUUUAAAGCCCAAAUACAGACCCAAUAAAAUUAUGGAAAACUUGUUUCAUGGGCCAAGCCCAUUAGUCUUUCAUUCGAGAAUUACACUACACUGCAUAAAGUUGUUUCCCCAAAGAUGUGGAAAUACACCAAAAUCACGUGCUUUAAUCUAUUUUAUUUUGUUAGAAAAAAAUUUGGUAUGAAAAGUAGUUUCAGUGCUACAAAUAUAUCUAGAUAUAUACUCUUAAUUGAUGUCUUCUUCAAAAUGGCCCCCAUAUUGUGUUCUAGCCACGAUAGAUAGUACGAUUGAGAUUAAUGAGAUCUCGCUUAGUUAAUCCUUGUGUACGUGGAAUGAAUGGAUGAGAAUUCUUGAAUACUUGACUAGUUCAGUGUUCACAUUAAUCCAUCCUGAAACAGUGGGCAGGUGCUUUCCUUAGCCCAUUGGGCCCUGCCAUCUACCUUGUGCAGCCCCAUUAGCGGACUUGCUUAUGUUUAUGGAAUGAAAAACCAUCACUCAAGGCAUAAAAAAAUGUGAUGACAAAGACAAAUAAUGGAACAAAGGAUAUAACCAAUGAAUUAUGAUGAAAAAUGAUGGUAGGAGGACAAAAAAAUAAUAAACAAGGUGAACUAGUAAGUCUGUGGCUCAUGAAACUUUUGAAUAAAGCAAAUAUACACUAGAGGGUCCCUAUUCUAGUGUAAAAGGUGAGCAAAGCUAUAAAAAAGAAAAUGUUAUGAUGCUCAUGCGAGGCUCAAAGGGCUAACAACGACCCAAAUGUCAAUAAAGGUAAUAGAGUGUGAGCUAAUCAAAAUGAAGGUCACACAUCUUUCAACCAUGGUCUCAAACAUUGUGCUCUCAAGACCUCAAAUGAUCAAUACUAAAGAUCGAUAUUCAUUUGAUAUAACCACGUCAACCCUCUGAAAUCGUGUGCCAAACCCUACUCCAGAUGCUCCAUAAUAAUCUCAAAGAUGAUCAUCUCAAAACAAAGUAAACAACCAUCUUGUCAAGCACAACUGCUCAUCACAAGCCAACUCUCAUUAUGCAAUACCAAUCUCUAUACUCAUGGCAGAAUAAGUGACAGUUUCAUCAGACAAUCAACCAAUCCUCACAUCAUAAACCAACCAAAGAUCAUAAGUCAUCCCUCGCCAUGUAAGAUCAACCCUAAGCUCAAACUCUUCACACUCUACCUAGUUGGAUUAGAUAGAGGAUGUGCAAAGCUAGAAAAGUUGAGGAUGAAAAGGUCAUAUAAUGGUGUCAAGGGUGAUGUGUAAAGCUCACAAUGCAUGGAUGUAGGUCAAAACAAAGUCAAGGUGUGAGAGUGAAUAAGGCACUGCUCUGAUCAUAAGAAGAUGGGUCACAGUCUCCAACUCCCUAAGUCAAAUAUGUGGUCCUAGGUUAAUAGGCUCAAUAUCCUCCAUGAUAAGUUAGGCUUCAAGACCAUAAUGUGCAAGUGAAAAGAUGUCUCAAGUAAAAAAACCUAACAUAACACAUGGUAUGUGGUCAUGUGAUGAUAAUCAAAAUUUGGAUGUAUGACAAAGACUAUAAAGUCAUAAAAGUGUCCACUAUGAGAUGACUACAAAUGUGAUUAAAGAAUUUCUAUGAGUGAUCUAAAAAAUGAAUGAGGUGUGAAAAACAACAUUGCCAGGAAAUCGAUACUCCAUCUAUAACAAAGUAUCCCUAAUUCACUUUCAACUUAAGCUCCAUAAAUAAAAAUGAUAAAGUGAUCAAGGCAGAUCUUUCAAAAAGGGUGUGAACGUGAAAACAUGUUUUUCACAUUUCUGUAAUGAAAAUAUCGAGUUGAAAAUAGAAUUAAGUGAAUCGACCAAAAUAAAGUAUCAAGCCCAUGAUAAGUGAAGAAUGUAAAAAGGUGAGCAUGAUCAAUGAGCAUACCCCAAAAUGUCAAGCACAAUGACAAUCAACCAAAAGAAUGUUAACUCAAGAAAGAAAAUAUGUCUAAAGCCCUAAGGGAAAACGUGCUAGACUCAACAAGCAAUAAGAAGAAACCAACACUAUACAACAAAGAGUGGUCCAACUGAUUCUCAAACUUGCACUGAUCUCUAAACACUCUCAACUGAAGACCCAAAGAUGGAGUAUUGGAUCCAUGCUAUGACUAAAGCAGCCCCAAAGGCUCUCAAAUGCACUCACGUGUAAGUAAGAAAUCCUAAUCAAAUGAUCUAAGACUCAACCUAAUAGGACAAAGCGGCUCUAAAAAGAAAAAAUGGUGGACUUUAAAGGAUCCUUAGCAAAAGAAAUCGUAUCUUUCCAUGGUACGCAACCUCAUGCACACCUCCAAAGAGACGGAGGCACUUCCAUGCAAUGUGGUCAUCACCUCCACACAUCCACUAUCUCUCAUCCUAGAGGAUUUCUUAAUGGUGAAGGUUGUCACAUCUCUCAAUACUCAAUGGUAAUCUAAGGUGCAUAAUGAACGGUGUGGGUGAACCCAAAAAUCCUAUCAAACUUAGCAAAAAGAAAACACAUCGGUCACACAAAUAUCCUGAAAAUCUAGCUCUAUGCUAUACAAGUCUUCAAAGAUUGGACUCUAAUCAGUAUCAAUGUGUUGACUUUCUCCAGAAUGCUCCCAAACAUAGAUAUAGACCAUUAUUAAACUCUACUCUGAAUCACCAGCUCGGUCGAAGAGCAAACAAAGUAACAAGUCUUGUAUCAAAUAUGAGAUCAAGAAAAACAAGGUCAAUCGAGACUAGAGAGUUAGAGGUAAGAGGAUAGAUGUGUGUCCCACACAGACAAGCAAUACAUGCAUCACAUAGAAAAAGAGCAAUUAUGCACCAAACAAUCAUGCAAAUAAUAUGUAUAUCACUCAUAUCUAUACACAAACUAGGCAUGAAUAUGAUAAGCAAGAUAGGUAUUUAACAUAAUAGACAAUAUGUUGAGACAAACAAAAUGUUAUACAACAAAGAUAAUCAAUCAUGUCAAGAUGAAUGAGAUAUACAAAAAUGAGAAUAUGCAUGUCAAGGAAAGCAAGAUAAUCAUACAACAAAAUGAGUCACUAUGAAAGGUAGAUAAGAGAAUCAAUCGAUAUAAUCAACAUGUGAACAUCUCCAAUGAACAAUAAUAACCAAACAUGCAUCAUGGAUAAACAUAUUGAAACUCUCAACGUGUAAUCAACACCCAAUCAUACAAAGGCACAUAGAGAGGGGUAUCCAUUGAUCAACCAAUCAAACACCAUAUUUCCCUCAACUCGAGUUCAAGUUUGACUCUCUAAACAUACCCAGUGGAGUCGCCAUUUUGUGGACCUGCGUUUUUCACGUGCGUCCCCGCUCGAACGACGAAAUUCGUUUUUUAUUUGGUGAAAAUUUUAUUUUUUAGAAAAAAACUUGAAGUCGCCACUUAUUUUUGUUUUAUUUUUUAAAGGGAAAACAAAAUAAGAAAGAAAACUCUAUAUGACUCCUUAUUUGGAAAAAACAUAUCUGUAAAAAAUCGAGUCUAAAUACAUGAGUCAAGUUACCUAUUGGGAAUGUACGAUGGUGAGCCAUAGAACCCCUCCAAGCCCGUAUACCUACAACUUAUACUAAAUGAAUUAAGGGAAUUGUAACAAUUAAUUAAUUAGUCAUGGAUACCAAGAAAAAGAAUUGCACAAAUGAGUAUGUACAAAUUAUGAUAAAAAAAAUCAAAUUAUAAGAAUAGAUAAAAUAAAUAACAAGAGAAUUAUGCAAAAUGAUUUAUUGAACUAAAAAAAAUAUUAAAAAAUUAAUUUUCAAGAAAUUUCAAAGGAUUUUAUUAAAAACAAUUUUGAAUUAAUGAUUUCAAUUUAUUUAUUUACAAAAAAAAUUCAAUUUAUUUUCAAUAAAUGAUUUAAUUUAAUGUAAUUUGUAUUCAAUUUAAAAAAAUGUUAUUUACACUUAUUGUUAUUAAAGGAAUUUAGUAAAAAAAAAUUCAAUUUGACAAUAAAAAAAUGAUUUUUACUUUUAAAAAAUGAUUUUUUACAAUUUUAUUUACAAAUGUAUUUUAAUUUGAUAUCUAUUUAAUUUUUAUUUUUUUUUACAAAUUUUAUUUACAAAAAUAUUGUCAAUCCAAUUUUCUUAAAAAAAAAAAAAAGAUUUCUACAACUUCAAUUUACAAAUUCCAUUCUUAUUAAAAAAGUUAUUUAAGGCUUUUAUCUACAAAAAUUACUUUUAAUUCCAUUAUACUUAAAUAGAGAGAAUUUAUCUAAAAAAACAUUUUUUUGAUCAAUUUUAUUAAAAUUUAACCUUUGGGACAAUUUUAUUUAAAAUAAUAAUAAUUUUUUUAACAAUUAUUAUUCUAUUAAAAACAAUUUUUUCAAAUUCUAUUAAAAACAAUUUUUAUUUUAUUUUUCUAAAAGCAUUUUUCUGAAUUUUUAUUAACAAAUAACUUUCUUUUAUUAAAAAGAAUAUUUUAAAACUAUUAUUUUAUUAAAACAUAUUUAUUGAAUUGUCUCUCUUAUUUAAACAAAAUUUCUUGUUUGUUCAAUGUUCAAUUCUAUAUAUAACAAGUAAAUAUAUACAAACAAAUAUUUAUAAAAACCACUAAAAAUAAAAUCAAAUAGUAGUGGAAAAUAAAAUAUGUACCCAAAUAAGCUUAUAAUAAGCUCAAUGUCUUCCUAUAGUUUUUCGAUUCUCACUUUAUUCCAUGAAAUUCUAUGCGCCACAUGUCAUAAAUUUAUAUUUAGCCAAUAAAAUUGCAAAAUGAACCCAUGGAAAAACAAAAAUAGUCCAAAUGUAAAUAUCUAGAAAUUUGCAAAGUUCAAAAUAAAUAUUCAACCUCAAAUUCAAAGUUCAAAUUAGUCCAGUAAAUUUCAUUAAUUAAAAAUGAGUCUGAAUUAGUAAAUAUAACCCAAUACAAAUAUUUUACAUGUUAUAAGCCUUUGUCCAAAAUUUUCAAAUUAAUAACCAAAAUAUAAACACAAUCAACCAAACUUAAAAUUUGAUAAACUAAAACAAAUUUCAUUAGGUCUAAACUUAAUUUCCCAUCAUCCAAACCUAAUUUAAUACACAAAUUCAAAUUCAUAACCAAAAUCAAACUCAAUUUAAUAUGAAAACCCACAUCCAGAAUAUAUCACAAUUGUCUUAUGCCAAAUUAAAAUCCAUAUCAACCACAAAUCCAUCCAACAAAUUUUAUUAACCACAAAUGAGCCCAAAUUUCAUAUUAAUUGACCAACAACAAAUUAAUCCAAAUUCCAUAUUAAUUAACUAAACACAAAUUUCAUAUUAAUUCAUCAACAAAUGAACCAAAAUUCCAAAUUAAAUCACCAACCCAACUUUCACAAACUAUUAUUAUUAAAAUCAAAGUAAGAAAAAUAAUAAUAAUAAUAAUAAAAUAAAACAAAAUAAACUUACAUCGUUUUUCUUUUUUUUGAGACCAUGGAAGGAAUAUUGGGGAUGGCAGUGUGUGGAGGUGGCAUCGUUAGCAAGCGGUUGAUAAUCAGUUGACAAAUAAAGCGGUGUAGUAGGUUUGGGUGGAGAGAAAGAAAAGAAAAGAAAACAAAAGAAAAUUAAAAUAAAAUAAAAUAAAAGGAAAAGAAAGAAAAAUGAUGGAAGGGGAGAUGAUGGUGUGGGUGUUGUGUGGUGUGUGUUGGAAGUGUCGUUGAAGUAGGAAAUGGAAAGAAGAUGGAAGAGUAAAAGAAAAAAAAUGGGGUCGUGUGGGUGUUCGUCGUGAGUGGCCGUGUGGGUGGAGAUGCAAUCUGAGCAAGUGGGGUGUGGUAGCAGUAGUGUGCAAAAGGAGAAGGAAGUGGAAGAGCAAAAGAAGCAAAAUUAUAAUAAAAAAAAUGGAGAAUUGUGUUUUGGGUUCAACUGGGCCCAAAAAUUAACAUUUGGUCCAUAUAACUUUUAUAAUUGAUGGAAAUGAUAUAAGAUGUUAAAAGACCAAUAUAUCCUUCAAAUUUCUAUAUAUUACCUUUUAAGGAUAUAAAAUAGUGAUGAAUUAAAAUACCCAAUGACCUUUGACAUAAGUUUUUUUUUUGUCUUUAUUGCACCACUAUUCAUGCAACCAUAAUAAUUUUAUUUUAACANNNNNNNNNNNNNNNNNNNNNNNNNNNNNNNNNNNNNNNNNNNNNNNNNNNNNNNNNNNNNNNNNNNNNNNNNNNNNNNNNNNNNNNNNNNNNNNNNNNNUAUCUAUUCUUAUAUUUUGAUUUUUUUUAUCCAUAAUUUGUACAUACUCAUUUGAUCAAUUUUUUUUAUUAGUAUGCAUGACUAAUUAAUUAUUUGUUACAAUUCCAUUAAUUCAAUUAGAAUAAGUUGUAGUUUUACGAGCUAGGAGUGAUUAUAAAUUUCGUCCUAAAACUUUUUCAAUAAAUACCUUGAAUACAAUUGGUAGUCUGGUUUUUUUUCUUUUCUUUUUCUUUUUGAAAAAACAUUUAAUUAAAAAAUGAAAACUAUUUUUUUAAAAAAAAAAUUGAAACCUUGUUUAGUACUAUUUUUUAUAUGAAAAUAAUAAAAAGAAUUAAAUUACAUUCAUUGAUUAUCCAUUUUUAUUUUUUUCCAUUAGUUAUUUUAAUAAAAAAAAUAAAAAAAUAUAGUAUGUUUACAAUUAAACAAAGAAAUUGAUCAAUUAUAUAUUUUUUGUGGGGCUAUCUUUUACAUGAAAAUAUAAUUAAAUAACUAAAUUAUAUAUAUUUAUUACUAUUUUUAAUUUAAUUUUAUUUAUUUAUUUUUUGUCUAAUAGAAAAUUUUAAUAUAUCCAUAAUUAGCUAAGUAAUAAGUCAAUUGUGCACAUUUUAAUCUAUUAAAAUAAAUUACUUUCUAAUUUAAAUAAAUAAAAUGAAAUAAGUAAAUAAAUUUGGGAUUAUUUCUGUUUUUUAACAUAUCUUAUAUCAAUAUUUUUUAUGGUUAAAUAAAUUUUUUAUUUUUUUUCUUUAAUUCAAAAAAUAAAAUGAAAUAAAUAAAUAAAUUUGGUAUUUUUUAACUGAUCUUAUAUUUAUAUUUCUUAUGGUUAAAUAAAUUUUUUAUUCUUUUUUCUUUAUUUCCAAAAAUAAAAGGAAAUAAAUAAAUAAACUUGGUUUAAAUAAUAGUUUUUUAAGUAAUUUCUUUGUCUUAUUUUUAAUUACAUUUUGUAUUGAAAAUAAAAUAAAAUAACGUUUUAUUUAUUUUAAUUAUUUUAAAUGUCAAACUAUUGGGAACAUAAUUUACACACUCAUGUGGAUAUAAUUUAUACAUAGAUAUGAAAUUUAUACCAUUAUACAAUAUUAUUACACUAAUUGUAAAAGAGGUGUGCAAAACUGUACAUUUUGAACAACUUUUUUUUUUCUUGUCAUCUAAGGAUUAUACGUUCUCUUACCACAAAUUCUUUUAUUUCAUGUACUUUAUUUAACUCGCAUAUAAAAAUUCAAAUACUUAUCUUAAUAAUGAUGUUUAGAGAAAAAUUUUGUUUUUACAUUUUAUAUCAUUUUUUAAAUCAAACCAUUUGAAACAUGGUUCACACAUCAUAUGUGACACAUAAUGUAUGCAUAUGAAUGAAAUUUGCACCAUUGUAUAAGGGUGUUAUACUAACUGUACAAGGUAAAUAUUCAAUUGGACAAGACAAAUGUUCCAAUUGUACAAGACAAAUGUUCUAACUAUACAAGGGGUAUACAAGGUUAUCCUUUAUGAAAGAUUUUAAUCAAUUUUGGACAACUUUUUUUUUUUAUCUUGUCAUCUAAGGAUUGCACACUCUUAAGGUACACAUUCCUCUAUUACACACUCAUCUUAUGCACUUUAUUUACAUGAUAAUUCGAAUACUUAUCCCACUAAGGAUGUUUGAGAUAAAAUUUUGUUUUUCCAUCUUCCGCUAUUUUUUGAAACAAACCAAUGAAAACAUGGUUAACCUACCUAUGGUUACACAUUGAGCCAGGGGUAUAUAGAAUUUGAGUCACUGUACAAGGUAUUUACACUAAGUGUACAUGACAAAUAUACUAACUGUACAAGGGUGUACAAGAUUAUUAUUUGUGAAGGAUUUUAAGUGAUUCUGAAAAACUUGUUUGUUUAUUUCCCCUAACCGAUGAUAAAUGACAUUCCUUACACACAUUAGUUAAACAUACAUUCAUCUUAUGCACUUUAUUUAACUUGAAAAGGUACCUCACUUAUGAUGAUUGUAAAACAAAAUUAUACAAUAAUUUUUCUUCUUUUUUAAAACCAAACCAAUGCAAACAUGGUUAAUCGACCUAUUGUCAGAUAUUCAUAAGAUGAUAUAUGAAAUUUGAGUUAUUGUACAAGGGUAUUAUACUAACUGUACAAGACAAAUUUACUAAUUGUACAAGGGUGUACAAGACUACUUUUUGUUAAGGAUUUCAAGUGAUUUUGAAAAACUUUCCCCCUUUUUUUUCCACUCAAAUAUUUUUUUCCCACUCAAAUUCUCUCACUCAAGAAUUGUUUCGAAUUUUAUUUUUAAAUUUCAUCAUCAAAAUUUUGUAAUUGCAUAUUUUGCUUUUGUAGUUUUAGCAAUGUUCUUUCUUUCCACUAUUUUUUUUUUUUUUUUUGUGAAAUUUUAUUCAAAUGAAUCUAUAUUUAAAAUUGUAAUAAUAUUUAUCAAUUUUUUUUACUAAGAUUAUAUUUAAUUCUUUUAAUAUAUUUAUACUCAUUUAUUUAAAAAAUGAAAAACCAAUUUUUUUUUUUUUUUGUAAACAUGCUCUAUUACCUUUCAAGUAAAAAAUUAGAUAAGUUUGAAAGUCAAUUAAAAAAAAAAUUAAAUACCACUUUCAAUAAUUUUUAGAUAAAAUUUUAUAUAAUAUGUUUUAUUUAAAAUUUAAUUUCUAAAGUUUAACUGUAUUGACAAUUUUCUUGUUGUGAGUCAAAAUACUUUGCAUUAGUCUAUCUAGAUAAGAAAAAUUAUUAAUAUAAUAUUAGAACUUCAUAUCUUAGUUAUUUUUUUCAAUAAAUUUAUCUUUUCAAAAAUUUUAAAAUAAAAACAUUAGAAAUUAAAAAGCUAAAAGGAUAUAUAUAUAUAUAUAUAUAUAUAUAUAUAUAUAUAUAUAUAAUAGAGUGAAGUGAUAGUCAAUUUUUAAAAUAUGGUUAAUGUAGAAAAUAUAAAAAAUAAUUAAAAAUAAGAGAAAAAUAUAAAUGAAAGGAUAAUAUAAAUUUAAAAUAAAAAAUGAAAAUUAAAUUAAAAGAUAAAUACAAAAAGAUAAAAAAUAUUUGGAUGAAAAAUUCCAAAAUUUUUAUCAUUGCUUAUAAUAGGAGCAAAAAGAUUCAAUAUCUUUAAAAAAAAAAAAACAUUAUUGCUUUUUAUUUGACAUAAAAUAGAAAUAUAGAUUAGAAAAAAAAAGAAAAAAAAGUUAGAAAUGAAUAAUACUUAAUAAGAAAUAGAAAUGGGAAAAAAAAUACAAAAAAAUUGAAAUUCACACUCAUUUGUGUCUAUGUAAGGGUUAAGGGUAUUUUAAGGAUUAAUGAAAGAUAAUAUUUUUCAUCUUAAUUUUCAUACUUUGUUUAGGUUUUGCACUUAAAUAUACAUGAUAUAUGGACCAAAUGUUAAUUUUUGGACCCAAUUGGGUUUAAAACACAAUUCUCCCAAAAAAAGAAGUUGGAGGAAGUUGUGGGGAGAUGUGCAGAAGAAGGUAAUGGGUAAAGCGGUUAAUUGGAGAGGGUAAGAUGGGAAGAAAGAGGAGAGAGGAAAAUGAGGAAAAUUAAAAGAAAAUAAUAAUAAUAAUAAUAAUAAUAAUAAUAAUAAUAAUAAAUAACAAAAUAAAUAAAUAAAUAAAUAAAUUUUGAAAAUUUUUGGUGUUUACAAAAUCAUUUAAAAAAAUAAUUAUCUCAUCUAUGAAAAAUUGCAUGGACGAAGAUAAAACGUUAUUUUUCUUGUAUAAUUUCAAAUUGUGAGUAAACUCCUACUUUUCCCAAAUUUUGUGUAAGUGGAAUGAAUGGAUGAAAUUUUUUGAAUAGCUAAAGAAAGAGGAGAGAGGAAAAUAAGGGAAAUUAAAAGAAAAAAGAAGGAAAAGAAAAUAAUAAUAAUAAUAAAUAAAAAUUUUAAAAAAAUUUGGGGUUUACAUAAUCACUUAAAAAAUAAUUAUCCCAUCUAUGAAAAAUUGCAUGGACGGAGAUAAAACGUUCCUUUUCACGUAUAAUUUCAAAUUGUGAGUAAACUCCCACUUUUCCCGGAUUAUUGCGUACAUGGAAUGAAUGGAUGGGAAUUCUUGAAUAGUUGAUUAGUUCGGUCUUCAUCCAUUAAUCCAUCUAGAAACAGUGGGCUUCUAGGUGCUUUCCUAAGCCCAUUGGGCCUGACACGACAGCCCAUAUGCCCUGUACAGCCCCAAUAGCUAACUUGCUUACGUGUAUGGAAAGAAAUGAAGCACGAGGGCACAACCAUGAUGCCAAGCCUUGGAAUUCAAUAAAGCAGUUUGAUAUUUCUCCGCCACCCCCACCCUAUAUAAACCUCUACCCAUUUCCACAUAAACCAUCAUCACCACCACUACAAAGAGCGUCUUCCUCAAAAUGGGCCUCUUUAGCUGACUUGCUUGCGUCUAUGGAAUGAAGUCAAGCACGAGGGCACAAAGAUAUAUGACGCACGAGGGCACAAAGAUAUAUGACGCCAUUCCUUGGAAUUCAAUAAAGCAGUUUGACAUUUCUCCGCCACCCCCACCCUAUAUAAACCUCUACCCAUUUCCACAUAAACCACCAUCACCACCACUACAAAGAGCGUCUUCCUCAAAAUGGGCCUCUUCAAAAGCCUCUCCAUUUCCUCCUUCCUUCUCAUCACCCUCUUCUUCACCUCCGCCCAUGCAGCCAUUUUCAAUAUCCAAAACCGUUGUUCCUACACAGUUUGGGCAGCAGCUGUGCCGGGUGGGGGUAGGCGCCUCGACCCGCGUCAGUCCUGGAGCUUGACUGUGAACCCUGGGACAACUGGAGCCCGUAUUUGGGCCCGGACCGGCUGCAGCUUCAAUGGGGCUGGGCGUGGGCGUUGUCAGACCGGGGACUGCGGUGGCGUCCUCCAAUGCACAGCCUAUGGUGCACCCCCCAACACCUUGGCUGAAUUCGCACUUAACCAGUUCAACAACCUGGACUUCUUUGAUAUAUCCUUGGUCGAUGGGUUUAAUGUGCCUAUGGCUUUUAACCCUACCUCCAAUGGGUGCUCCCGUGGAAUACGGUGCACGGCCAACAUCGUGGGACAGUGCCCCAAUCAGCUCCGAGCUCAGGGUGGCUGCAAUAACCCAUGCACCGUUUUCAAGACCGAUCCGUACUGUUGCAAUUCCGGGAGCUGUGGCCCUACAGAUUACUCAAGGUAUUUCAAGACUAGGUGCCCUGAUGCUUACAGCUACCCUAAGGAUGAUCAAACCAGCACCUUUACAUGCCCUGGUGGUACCAACUAUGAUGUUAUCUUCUGCCCAUAAAGCCUCUAUUAACUAUAGUAUGCAUGUACUCGCUAGUCCAAACUACUAGGGUGCUUUUGAGUCCAAAAGCCUAGAGGAAUAAAUUUGAAUAAAUUUGAGCACAUGUAUGUGUACUACAUGCGAUCGUGUAACAAAAUUUCUAAGCUAGUUGAAGAAAUGGAUGUUUUUACGAGGGAUUUUACCGAUAUUAUUAAGAAUGUGUUUUAUAGCGAUUUUAUAAAGUGUUUUUAAUUUUUUUUUAUAUUUGAAAGAUAAAAAGUUUUAAAUGUUAAAAAAAGUAAAAACAUUUUCUAAAAUUACUGUCAAAUACACUUUAAAAAUGGAUUUAAUAAUGAUUCUAAAAAGUUUUUAUAAUUAAAUAUGAAAAUUUUGAAGUAUUAAAAAAAACUAAAAAUAUUUUCUAAAAUUAUUAUCAAAUAUAUUCUAAAUAAUGUAGGACCUAAUAGAGAAACACUUUUGCAUAAGAAUUUUAAACAAAUAAAAAAAUAAAAAUCAUUCCAUCAAAAUAAUUCUAACUUUCUUUUUGUCUAAUUGGAUUCCAAGUAAGCUCGGUUUUUGUCCGCAAGACCAAUUGUUAAUUUAGUCUUUAGACCACUAGAAUGGAGGUUUCAAGGAAAAAGAAAAAAAAAGGGUUUGACUGUGAGCAGUGCUUUGCUGACUGACCUCACUCCCAAAUCAAUUUUCCAUGUGGUGGAACCGUGGAAGACGCCUUCCUUAAUGGGUAGGAGGCUGUUAAUGGAGAGUUUGGACUUUGGGGAGAAAUUGAUUGUUUCCCCACUCACUUUCAAUUAUAUCCAUUUACAUGGAAAUAUAUAGGAAAAGAAAAAAAUUUAAAAUUUUUCGUCAAAAGCAUCUCCUUCCAAUUGUUAUAUUAAAUAUUUUAUGAUUUCAAAUCUUUUCUGGUUUAAGUUUUGAAUUUACCCUAAUGAGUUUGCCUUUUUUUUUUUCUGUCCCUAUUUAAUAUAUAUAAUUAUGUAGAUUUUCCAUUUUGUCUUUCAUAGUACAUAAUUUUGACAAUAUUUAAUGUCUUUUGCUUGGUUCCCUGCAUAGCAUGUGCGUAGGAUUAUUUUUGGCUUUUAAAUCUGCUUGCAGCCUUCAUUGAACCGAAGUGGAUAGGAAGGGCUUGACUUAUUCGUAUACUCAGAGGGCACUCAACUCACUAGCAAUGCCCCACCAAAGUCGCGUGCAUUGAAUUGUAAAAUCGAUUGACUUUUUACUUUUACCUCUUAAACAAAAGGACACCUUCUCACUCCUUCCAAAUUUUUGAAAAAGAUAUAUAUAUAUAUCUAAAAACUGAAUUUAAUUAGAUUAUUUAUUAGAAAGGUAGGGUGAUCAUUCAUAACACUUCUCAAUACUCAUAUAUGUACUGUUUUUACUAAAUGAAUGAAAAGAAGUAUGAUGAUUAAUUAAUUAAUCAUGAAUAUUAAGAUUAAGAAGACAAAUCAAUAUAUAUAAAAAAAUAAUCAAAUCAAAAUAAUGCACAAAAUAAAUGACAAGAAAAUUUUACAAAAUAAUUUAUUAAACAAAUUUAAAAUAUAUAUAUUUCAAAAAAUUAUUCUUUUAAGAAUUUCGAAAAAAAAUUAUUAAAAACAAUUUCGAAUAAAUAAUUUCAAUUUAUUUUUUAUUUUUAAAAAGUUUCAAUUUAUUUCCAACAAAUGAUUUGAUUUAAUUUUAUUUAUAUUCAAUUUAUAUAUUUUUUUUAAAUAAUUACACUUAUUUUAUCAAAAGAUUUUUUUUAAAAAAAAGGAAAAUUCAAUUCCACAAUAAAAAUGAUUUUUACUUGCUUUUAUUAGAAAAAAAAAAAGAAUUUUUACAACUUUAUUUUCAAAAAUAAUUUAAUUUUAUUUUAUUUACAAAGAAUUAAUUUCUUUACAAUAAAAUAUUUUCAAUCCAAUUUUAUCAAGAAAAUUAUUUUUACAACUUCAAUUUGCAAAAAAAACUUUCAUUUUAUUUUUAUUAAAAUAUUAUUCAAGACAUUUAUUUAUGAAAAUUAUUUUUAAUGUCAUUCUAAUUAAGGAAAGAUAACUUAUUUAAAUUUUUUGGAUAAUUUUAUUAAAAAAAACCUUUUGGACAAUUUCAUUUAAAAAUCAAUUUUUUUGAACAAUUUUAAUUAAACAAAAUAAAUUUUAGACAAUUAUUAAAAACAAUUUUUUAAAAUUUUAAUUAAAAACAAUUUUAGAAUUCCUUUAAAAACAUUUUUUGAAUUUUUUUAUUAAGCAAACUUUCUUUUAUUUAAAAGAAUCAUUUUAGAAAUAUUAUUUUAUUAAAAAAUAUUUAUUAAAUGGUUCCUCUUAUUUAAACAAAAAUUUUGGUUUGUUGUGAAUAUUUAAACAAAAUUUUUGGGUUUGAAUCAAUACAAAUAAAACCAAAUAAAAGUGAAAAUAAAAUGUAUAUCCAACAAGCCUACAACUCUUUUUUCUUCAUGAAAUUCAACCUUUCAUGUGUCUCGAAUCCAUACUUAGACAGAAUACCAAUGAGAGUAGUGGAAUGGGCCAUGAAAAACAAAAAUUAGUCCAAAAGUAAGUAUUUGGAAAUAUGCAAAAUCCAAAAUAAAUAUUCAAACCCAAAUUCUAUAAGCCCAAUAGGAAAAUUCAAAUUGGUCCAAUGAAUUUCACCAAUGAAAAUAAAUCAAAUUAACAAGUAUAACCCAACAAAAAUAUCUCAUUUGCUAUAAGCAUUAGUUCAAAAUUUUCAAAUUAAUAACCAAAAUCUAAUAUCCAUCAACAAGCCACAAAUCAAAAUAAUCUCAAUUAAGCCUAAGCCCAAUUUAAUACGCAAACUCAAAUUCAUAAUCAAAAUCAAACUCAAUUUAAUAUACAUACCUAAAUAAUAUCUAAAAUAUAUCACAAUAUUAUCUCAUACCCGAAUUAAAUAAUUCAUGAGCAAAACCUAUAUCAAAUGUCAAUCAAUCCAAUAAAUUUUACCAAUAAUAAAAUAGCUUAAAUUUCAUAUUAAUUAAUAAACUCAGAACGUGAUAAAUCAAAAUAAAUUGAAUCAAACAUAAAUUCAAUAUCUUAUAAUUUAAGCCUAAUUGAAUAUUCAAAUCCAAAAUCCAAUAAUCACCAAAUCCAAAUACAACAUAAACUAACAAACCCGAAUUUAUAUGAAUACAAAUCAAAAUAUAAGGUCCAAAAUGAUCCAGAUUAUCUAAGCUUACAAAUAAUGUCUAAAUGCACACAUGAAAAUAAUAAAAAUUAGCCCAAACCAAUAAUCUCAAUAAUCAAGAACAAAUUAUUGUAGUGAUUAAACAGAAAUAAUAAAAAUAUAAGGAUAUAAACUUACCCAUGAAGAACCCAUUAUAGUAAUUAAACAUAAAUAACAAAAAUAAAAGAAAAUAAAUUUGCCCAAAUUUGAAGUAUAUUGUUGAAGGGUUGAUAUAGGCUAAUGAAAAUAAAAAUAAAAAUAAAAUGAAAGAAGAUAGAGAGGGAAAGAAAGAGAAAAUGGUGAGAUGAAAGAUAGGUGGAAAGGGAGAACGAAAGAGGAAAGGGGGUCGCCGGCCGGCAGCAGAUCACCGAUGGAGACGGACCAACUGUGUUGUCGAUAGUGAGGGUUGAGUGAGUGUGGUGAGGGAAAAAUGAAGAAGAAAAAUGAAGAGAAGAAAAAAAAAAAAAAGAAAGGUGGGGCAUGUUCUCUGGAAGUGGGCCAAGAGGGGAGAAAAAGCGGGGAAAAAAAGAAGAUGAAAGAAAAUGAAAGAAAAGAGAGGAAAAUGGAAAUGGAAGAGAGGAGAGCGGGGGAUAUGGGGUCUCUGACGUGGGAGUGGGCAGGAGAGAGAGAGUUGAGGGAGUGGGUGGAGUAGGUGAGAGAAAAAGAAAGAAAAGAAAAUAAAAGAGGGAGGGAAGGAAGGAAAUGAGAAAAAAAGAAGAAGUAAAAUAAAAUUAGAUAAAAUAAUAAAAAAUUAAAAAUUAACAUUUAAAAUAUAUAAAUAGGUUAAAAAAAUUCAAACUAAGAUUUAAAAAAUAUAAAUGGACCAAAAAAUUUAAAUUUCGAUUUAAAAGGUAUAUAUGAAUAAAAAAAAAAUCAAAUGUAAUCCAUUUGAAAUAUAAUAAUAAAAUUAAACAUAAAAUUAAUGUAAAAAAAAAAUAGAAGAAAUUUUAAGAUUACAAAAAGUAUAGGGCAUGGUACAAAUUUAUUUUUAUUAUUUAAAUAAAAAAAGAUUAUCUUAAAACAUUACUUUAUUUUUUAAAAUAAGAAAUAAUUUUUAAGAAUUUAUUCUUGAAAUGAGGAGAGUGUUUAGAAUAUUUUUUUCACUUACUUUCUAAAAAAAUAUUAUAAAAAUUAAAUUAAUAAAUAUGCAGAAUAAUUAAAAGUAAAAUGUUAUAUACAAAAGUUAUUUUAAAAAAUAUAUUAACAAAAAUCAAAUUUCGAAACGGACUUCUUCUAUUAAAAAAAUAUUAAAAAUGGUUUGAAGCAUAUAUUCAAAAGUCGUCUUUUGAGAGUAGAUUUCAAAAAUAUUUCCAAAUAGAUUUUAACAUAUCAUUUCAAAGUGAUUCUAAUUAAAAUAUUUUGAUUUAUACUUUUUUAUUCAAAAUAUUUUGAUCAACUUUUAAAUAUAAAACCAAUUCAAAAAUAUCCUCAACACAUAUUAUUUAAUCAUAAAAAUUCUCAUAAUUUUUUUAUUCUUCAAAUACUUUCCAACAAAUAGUCAAAGUCACAUGCAAACUCUUCCAACAAAUUUCAAAUGCAAGCCACAUACAUAUGCAACACUCCUUAACAUGAUUCGUAAGAAUAAUUUCUCAGUGACACAAAUUUCAAUUUCUACUAAAUAUCUAUAUCAAAAUAAAUAGAAAAAAAAAUUCAAGAUAUCCAAAGAUGAUCACACCUAUUUCAGUUCAUUGUUCUUCCAUUCAAUUUAUAUCCACAAGUAAUAAAUGAAAACUAAAACUGAAAAUAAAUCAAAGAAUAUAAUAAAAAUAAAUAAAUAAAUAAUGAUAUCAGAAUUUACGUAGAAAACUUUCAAAAAGAUUAAUAAAACACGAACUUACCAUCAAUAAAAAAUUCCACUAUAAAAAAUAAAUAAUGUGUACAACGAUUUACCUAACUCAAAUCUUUUAAUCUUUCGUAGACUUAACCAACACUUUCUCACUUCAAUAGCAUAUCCUCAUCUUUCAUAAUAUACUUGGCCUUUUCAUUAUACUUGGCCUUUUCAUUAUACUUGAUCUUAACCUCUUCUUAAAGCUUGUUUAAGAAGAAAAAUGGGUUUUUUACCCAAACCCAAAUAGAUCAAAAAUUGAGAGAAUGAAUGAAUAAAUAGAUUAACCUUUUUUUUUUCUCAAGAAAAUUUAUUGAAAGCGACUUUAAAAUCAAUAAGAAAAUGAGAUUUUCUUGACCACCAAACACCGUAAAUUUGGUAAGAAAAAAAAGUACAAGGGCAAAAUAACUAUAUAUAUAUAUAUAUAUAUAUAUAUAUAUUAUUUUGUUAGAAAAAAAAUUUGAUAUAAAAAGUAGUUUUAGUGCUACAAAUAUAUCUAUAUAUAUAUAUAUAUAUACUCUUAAUUGAUAUCUUCUUCAAAAUGGUCCCCAUACUGUGUUCUAGCCACGACAGAUAAUACGAUUGAGAUUAAUGAGACGGCACUUAGAUAAUUCUUGUGUACGUGGAAUGAAUGGAUGGGAAUUCUUGAAUACUUAAAUACUUGACUUGUUCAAUGUUGUGGGCUUCAAGGUGCUUUCCUUAGCCCAUUGGGCCCUGCCAUCUACCCUGUGCAGCCCCAUUAGCUGACUUGCUUGCGUCUAUGGAAUGAAGUCAUACACGAGGGCACAAAGAUAUAUGACGCCAUUCCUUGGAAUUUAAUAAAAGCUGUUUCCCAUUUCUCCGCCGCCCCCACCCUAUAUAAACCCCUACCCAUUUUUCCAAAGGUUGAAUUCAAUUUAAAUAACAAAUCCAUCUUUAUAAAGUGAAAAAUAAAUUUGUUUUUUCAAAAAUCAAGUUUAAUAUUAAAAUAAAACAGAUAAGAGAUUAAAAACAAAAGUUACAAAACGGACAAGAGAGAAGAAUGGAAUGUGGUAAAAAAAAAACACAUUUUGUAUUUAUUUUUAAAUAACAAUUUUAGUAAUGAUUUUAUAAGGUGUUUUUAAUAUUUAAAAAAAAAUUAAAAAUACUUGUUAAAAUAAUUGUGAAACGCAUUGUUAGACUUUUUAGACCAUACAGGUUUCAGGGAAAAAACAAUAAAAAAUAAAAUAAAGAAGAUUUGAUUGUGAGCAAAGCUUUCAAUUUUCCAUGUAGUGGAAGAAGCCUUCUAUAUGGGUAUUUUAUUUUGUCCUCAUAACAUGAUAUUUAUCAUAUUUGGUAUUUGCAUAGUAUAUAUACAAAAUUCUUUUUGAUUUUUCUACUCUUUGCACUUCUUAGUGGUCUUUCUAUUACUUUUAUACAUAAUAAAAGUCAAUAACUAAAUGUAGAGAUUUUUUGCGGGCCCAAAAAUCACACGGUUAGUUCAUGGAGUUGCUUUCGGAGAGGCCUGAACCACCCACCAAAGUUGAGCUUAUCUCUUCGCUUUUACAUCUUAAAUGACACUAGAAAAAGGUAUAUGGCAUAGUAGAAAACUAUUUUUAAUUUUUUUUUUAUUAUUUAAAUAAUUUUUUUUUACCUGAAAACUUUUAUUAUUAUUUUAAAUAAGAAAUUGUUUUUUAAUUAUUUAUUCUAAAAAUGAGAAGAAAGUGUUAAGAAUAUUUUUUUCACUUAUUUUCUGAGAAUCAUUUAAAAAAUUUAAUUAUAUAAAUAUUGAGAAGAGUUGAAAAUAAAACAUUACAUAUAAUUUUUAAAAAUAUAAAAAUUUUAUUAAAAAUAUUUCAAGUUUCUAAACAUGCUUCUAGUAAAAAAAAAAAUUAAAAAUUGUUUGAAACAUAUUUUCAAAAAUUAAUUUUGGACAACAGUUUUAAAAAAUAUUUCCAAAUAGACCAUGAAAUAUCAUUUCAAAAUGAUUUUAAUUAAAGUUGUGCAGAGUAUUUUAACAAUGAUAUGGACCUUAUCUGGAAAAUAUUUUAAAUAAAAAAUAUAUGUUUAUUUAAAUUUGCGCCAUUGUAUUUGCUUACAAGUUUAUUUAUUGUCAUGUUUCAGAAAAAAAUAUCAGCUUCAGUUGAAAAGUUUUGAAAGAUACUUCGUAGUGGACCCACAUGGAUCACGAAUCCAUCUAAAACCCAACAUUUACGGGCUUUCCAUGACAUUGGGCCCAGUCACGUGUCUUUUAAGUGGAAAGUAAACUUUGGAUUUUCUCUUCUCUGGACUGGGUUGCUUCUCAGUAUCUUAAACGAUAAAUGAUGAUAUUAUCGAAAAUAGUCCCAGUCUCAGAAUAAUUGAAGUGGCCAAUCAUAUUGGAAUAAUUCAACAGGCUGUCUCAUUGAAUUUUGAAAUAAAUUUUUCCAACAACAUCCACCGACGUUUUUCUCAUUCAGCAUUCGGUAUUUAUGAAUUUACAUAAAAGUUAGGCAGAUUUCUGAAAUUAUAAAAAAUAAAAAUAAAAAUGACAAUGACGUGGGGCCUCGUCUCUGCAAAAUAUUUUAAAUAAAAUUAUUUAUUUUCUAAAAACAAACCUUUUUCAUUUGAAAAAAAAAAUUAUUGGCUUUUGAUGAUAAGGUUUGUGGAAGAAAAAGGCCAUCCCGCAUUGACUCUUUCUUUCAUGCCUACGAGUCACAACGAAGUCGACCACAAAGAUGAUGCCAUCAUUUGGAAUUUUUACAAGGCUUUAUGCACGCGGUUUUUCCACACUCACACCAACCCAAGCCCUCCUUCACACUAUACAAACCCUUUCUUCAAAUUGAUAAAUGAUAGUUUUUUUCAUUCAUACUUUCAUUUGUUCAUAUACAGAGUAUAUAUAGAGGGUAAUCAUCAUUCUAAGAAUGAGAAAGAAUAAUACAAGGAAAGAAUGAUAUAAGGAAAUAACAACUAAUAUCCUAAUAUCUCAACUUUCCUAAUAUUUCAAUAUUCCUAGUAUCUCAAUAUUCAUAAUAUCUCAAUAUUCAUAAUAUCUCAACAUUCCUAAUAUCUAAACAUUCCUAAUAUCUCAAUACUAAAUGAUAUAAGGAAAGAAUGAUAUAAGGAAAGCAUUCCUAAUAUCUCAACACUCCCCCUCAAGUUGGUGCAUAGAUGUCACACAUACCCAACUUGUCUAAAAAUUUUGAGAACACUUGACUUGAGACAGCUUUGGUAAGGAUAUCGGCCAAUUGAUCUUCUGAUCGAAUCUUAGGCAAUUCCACAAUCUUAUCAUCCAACUUUUCCUUAAUGAAGAAUCUAUCCACCUCGACAUGCUUUGUAUGAUCAUGUUGUACUGGAUUAUGAGUAAUGUCACAUGCGGCUUUAUUGUCACAAAACAAUCGGAUUGGUUGCCUAGAUAGGUAACUUAAAUCCUGUAAGAGGAGUCUUACCCAUAAUGCCUCACAAAGUCCUAGAGUCAUAUCUCUAAAUUCCGCUUCUGCACUUGAAUGAGCGACGACAUUCUGCUUCUUACUUUUCCAUGUCACAAGAUUACCACGUACAAAGGUAAAGUAACCAGAUGUAGAUCGCCUAUCAUCCACUGCACCGGCCCAAUCAGCAUCAGUAUAUACUUCUAUACUCUGAUGAUCAACAUUUUUAGUGAACAAAAUUCCCUUCCCAGGAGCAUUCUUCAAAUACCUCAAAAUAUGCAUGACUGCAUUCAUAUGUUGCUCUCCAGGAUUAUGCAUGUAGUGACUCACUACACUCAAUGCAUAAGCAAGAUCUGGUCUUGUAUGAGCUAAGUACAUUAAUCUCCCCACAAGUCUCUGGUAUCUUCCUUUAUUGGUUGAUACUUGAUUAGGCUCAACACACAAUUUCAGACCUUCUUCUAUUGGUGUAUUAACAGGUUGACAUCCCGACAUUCCAGUCUCCUGUAAAAGAUCUAAGGCAUACUUUCUUUGAGACAAAAAAAUUCCUUCACUUGAUCGAGAAACUUCAAUCCUAAGAAAGUAUUUCAGAGGACCUAGAUCUUUCAUUUCGAAUUCUUUAGAUAGAUAAUUUUGCAGAGCUUUUCUUUCUUCAGGAUCAUUUCCUGUAACUACCAUGUCAUCCACAUAUACGAUGAGUGUCGUAAUCUUACCAUGUUGCUUUUUUAGGAAUAAAGUGUGAUCUGAAUUACUUUGACGAUAGCCAAAAGCUCUCAUUAACUUUGUGAACCUUCCAAACCAUGCUCUCGGGGAUUGCUUCAACCCAUACAAUGACUUCUUCAAUUUGCACACCUUCUGACAUUGCUUUUCUAACACCAUGCAUCCUGGUGGAAGAUCCAUAUAUACUUCUUUAGAUAACUCGCCAUGAAGAAAAGCAUUUUUCACAUCGAAUUGUUGUAAUGGCCAAUCUAGGUUUGCAGCUAAAGACAAUAAUACUCGAAUUGUGUUGAUCUUAGUUACAGGUGCAAAUGUCUCUGUGUAGUCAAUUCCAUAAGUUUGAGUGUACCCUUUUGCUACCAGUCUUGCUUUAAAUCGUUCAAUACUACCAUCUGCCUUGUACUUCGCAGUAUAGAUCCAACGACACCCAACUGGCUUCUUUCCUGGUGGACAUUCUACGAGUUCCCAUGUUUCAUUCUUCUGCAAUGAUUUCAUCUCUUCAUUCAUGACUGCUUUCCACCUUGGAUCAGCUAAGGCUUCUUGCACACUGUUAGGAAUAGAUACAGUAGAUAAUUGAUUUACAAAUGACUUAUUUGAUUCAGACAAACGAUGGGUAGACACAUAGUUGCUCAUGAGAUAUUUGACUUUAUUAGGCAAUUCAGGUUCAUAUGUGGGUUUAGGAAUACCUCUAUUAUGACGAUGUGGUAACCGUUUCAUGAAUGGAUCAGGUUCCAAAUUAAGAACACCCUCAACAGACGACGAUUGGUUUGGUAUUUCAGUGAAGAUAACUUCGGACCCAAAUGUGCAACUAGUGCCAUGAUUAUCCUGAAAGAGUCCUUCGUAGAAACUGGAGAGAAGGUCUCUUUGAAGUCAAUUCCUUCUUUUUGAGUAAAGCCUUUAGCUACAAGACGUGCUUUAUAUCUUUCUACAUUACCAUUUGAAUCCCGCUUGGUUUUAAAUAUCCAUUUACAACCAAUGGGCUUCGUGCCAACUGGUAAUGGGACAAGUUCCCAAACUUUAUUGUCUUGCAUAGAUUUGUACUCUUCAUUCAUGGCUUCAAUCCAUUUCUGAGAGUUGGAACUUUUCAUGGCUUGCUGGAAGUUGAUUGGAUCAUCUUCCAUCAUUCCACUUUCUACCCCACGUUCCUAGAGAUAUACGAUAUAAUCGUCCGAAAUUACAUUUCUCCUCUCUCUAGUGGAUCUCCUUAAUAGCAUAUUUUCUUGAGGUUGUUGAGUUUGUUCUUCAAGAGCAAUGUCCUCAUUUGCAAUUAAGGGUUGAACAAUAUUGUCUAUUGGUUAAGGAUCCAAAUUUACUUCUUGAUCGAUGAUAGGUAGUGAAACCUGUACAUUAUCAAAAGCAAUAGUAGAUCCCUCUUCCUCCUCAAAGACAAUAUUCCUAGCCUGAUUUCUCCCCCCAAACUCAACAUCCUCAAAAAAUGUUGCAGUUCUCGUCUCAAAAAUUGACCUAAAAGCAGGAUCAUAAAAUUUAAAACCCCUUGAUCGCUCUGCAUAGCCAAUAAAGUAGUUGCUAACUGUUUUAGAGUCCAAUUUCUUUUCAUGAGGCUUAUAAGGUCUCGCUUCAGCUGGACAUCCCCAAAUAUGGAAAUGCUUUAAACUGGGCUUUCGACCCGUCCAAAGCUCAUAAGGCAUUUUAGCAGCCGCUUUAGUUGGCACCCGAUUUAGGAUAUAAGCUGCCGUUUUAAGUGCUUCACCCCAGAGUUUUUCGGGUAAAGUAGAAUGACUAAUCAUACUCCUUACCAUGUCCUUAAGAGUUCGGUUUCGUCUUUCUGCUACACCAUUCAUGCUAGGUGAUCCUGGCAUGGUGUAUUAAGGGACGAUCCCACAUUCCUCUAGGUAUUUAGCAAAUGGUCCUGGACGUUGUUCACCUGAUCCGUCAUAUCUACCAUAGUAUUCACCACCACGGUUAGAUCUGACGCUCUUUAUUCUUUUGUUGAGUUGUAACUCAACUUCUGCUUUAAAUGUUUUGAACACGUCCAAUGAUUGUGAUUUCUCAUGUAUAAGAAAUAGGUAGCCAUAUCUUGAAUAGUCGUCUAUGAAUGUUAUAAAGUACUGUUGACCAUUCCAAGAUAUCGUAGGGUAUGGUCCACAGAUAUCUGUAUGAAUUAAUUCUAAGACGUUUGUAGCUCUAUUGGCACCUAAUUUCUUUGUUUUGGUCUGUUUUCCUUUAAUACACUCAACACAAAUAUCAAAAUCUGAAAAGUUAAGUGAAUCCAAAAUCCCAUCGGACACAAGUCGCUCAACUCUAGAUUUAGAGAUAUGACCUAGGCGUUUGUGCCAUAAUGAGGCCGAAUUAUCUUUAUUCAAUUUACGUUUUGUACCUCGUGAUUCCACAUGCAAGGUUUCAUUAUAGGACGGAACAGUUUCCAACAAAUAUAGAUUAUCAUAAACAUUAAGUAAACCGGUUCCUACAACAUUUGAAAUAAUAGAUAAUGUAAAUCUAUUGUUUCCAAAUGAACAACAAUAACCUGAUUUGUCCAAAACAGAAACUGAAAUUAAAUUCCGUCUGAAAGACGGUACAACAAAAGUAUCUAUUGAAUCCAAAAAAUAACCAGAUUUCAAUAAUAAUCUAAAGUGCCCUAUUGUCUCUACUUCUAUCGACUGACCGUCUCCGACAUAGAUGCAUCUUUCAGCAUCACUUGGUUUUCGGUAACUCAGGCAACCCUGCAUAGAAACACAAAUAUGAAUAGUAGCACCAGAAUCUAACCACCAUGUGUUUCUAGAUACUGAAGCUAAAUUAACUUCAGAACAUACCAAAGUAAGAAAUAUACCUUUCUUAACACGCCAAGUAGCAUACUUGGUACAUUCCUUCUUAGUAUGUCCAGGCUUAUUACAGAAGAAACAUGUUACCUCAACUUUCUGUUUCUUUUGUUCUGGACCAUUAGAAGCAACAACCUUAUUAUUCUUAUUCUUUCGUUUGCCCUUAUCCUUGGAAGUGCUAGCCAGAAGAGCACUUUCGGUCUUGUCUUGCUUCAAUCUCUCUUCCUCUUGCACACAGAAUGAAAUGAGCUCAUUAAGAGUCCAUUUAUCCUUUUGAUAGUUAUAACUGACCUUGAAUUAAUUAAAUUGUGCAGGAAGAGAGAUGAGAACCAAAUGCACGAGUAAAUCAUCAGAUAACUCGAGUUUCAAAGCCUUAAGUUUUGAAGCAAGAUGAGACAUCCCCAUGAUGUACUCCCGAACAUUACCCUUGCCUUUAUACUUCAUUGAAAUCAAGCUUGCUAAAAGCGUGCUCGUUUCAGCCUUAUCGUUUUUGGCAAAACGUUUCUGAAUUUCCGCAAGGAAGUCACUGGCAUUAGUAACCUCAUCGGUUACCGCACCCCUGAAAGCUUCUGGAAUGCCGCGCUUCAUGAUCAUAAGACUUAGCCUAUUUGAACGUUCCCACUUACCCCAAUAAACCUCAUGCUCUUGAGUACUUUCCUCAUUGAGUUCAUCGGGUUUGGGCAUUCUCAAGGCUAAGUCUAUAUCCAUGCAGCCUAAGAGAAUCAUCAUAUUCUCUUUCUAGUCCUUAAAAUUAGUCUCAUUUAACAUAGGGACAUUAUUGAUGUUGGCAGAUAUAGAAGUAGUUGAUAUAAAAGUUGAAUCGAAAACAAAAUAAAAUAAAUCAAAUAAACCAUCAUGCUCACAUAAAAUAAGCAAUUAAACACAUAAUCUUUAAAUUUAAAAGCAAAUUAUGACAUUUCAAGAUACCUAGCACAACAUUAAUAUCAAGUCUUUGGACAGUAAUAUUAACUAUAAGUGGUACUCUUGUUGUAGUGAUCAAACAUUGAUGAUAAGUUAUGUCAAAUAAUAAAUCUAUCUUUGGAUUGAUUUAUUAUUCACAUUAAGUUACCUUUAUAAUCAUCACAUAUUUAUCACCACAGGUAUGUAUGCAAUUUGACCAAAUAUUAACUUUCCUUUGGGCCAGUCAAUACCCGCAUGAAUCACAUACACACGAAUAUCUAACACCCUGAACAGACUAAUCUACACGAAAGAUGUCACUUUGGUGAUUUUCCGCUUUAAUUAACCUAUUUAAAAUGCUAGAUCAAUAACUUAAAUAUUAAUAUCAUAAAAUGCUAUUAAAUAAUAAUAAUAAUAAUAAUAAUAAUAGUAAAAAAAAAAACAAAUUUAUUUAAUACAAAAAAAAAUAAAUUAAAACUUAAUAUAUUAUUAUAAGAAUAUGAUAAAUACUGCAGCAGCAAGGGAUAAAGGCCUUUUAUACUCAUAUAUACAUAUAUAUAUAUAUAUAUAUAUAUAUAUAUAUAUAUAUUUGAAACUUUAACAGAAUCAUCACCUACUAUUCCCAAAGAAAUUUCUAAGAUAUAUCAUUGGAAAUGUAAUACUUUUGACUUCAAAUACAAAUUUUUUUUGCACCUCUUUUCUUAACCAAUGAAUGUAUCUAUGUAUACUCUUAUAUUAAUACAAUCGAUUUCUAUUGACUUUAUCAAAACGAUCCACUGGUUUGUCAAACGAUUUAUGAAACGAUUUAUUGGUUUAUCAAACGAUUGUAUUUAUUCUGCCGAUAAAUCGCUUGAUAAACCAAUAGAAACCGAUUGCGGAAUAAAAAAAUAAAAAAUAUCAACUCAAUAUUUCAUAAAUCUUAAUCCAUUGACAUAUAUACAUAUAUAUAUAUAUAUAUAUAUUAAAAUAAUAACUCAAAGAAUUAAUCAAGGAGUAGGCUCUGAUACCACUUGUUAUAAUCAAACAAGAUGAAUACCCUAAUUUCAUAUAUACUGGAAUCUCCUGAUUAAAAAACAAUGAGUAGAAAAAUAAUAGCGGAAGCAUACCUGAAUCUAUUGAGGGAGAAACCUUAUAGGAAGAAAACCCUUUGAGAUGGUCUUCCAAUUCUAGCCACUAGAUUCUGUGUCAAUUUCUCUCUGAGAGGAUUUUUCAGAAAUUAGAAUGCGUAGUCGUAGAAUGGGGACCAUAACCCUAUUUAUAAACCGCUAGGGCAGUUUUAAUUUUAUCACAAUUAUAUUUCUGCCCCUCAUAGAAAUAAUAAUUAUCUAAUGGUAUCUACACAAUAAUCUCAUGACAAUUAUACCCUUAAGCCAAUUAAUCAAUUAUUAAUUAGAUCACUAUAUUUAGGCUUAAUUAAAUGAUAGCACACACAUUUUAAUUAUUUACAUGUGUGGUCCAAAUUAUAGAUUAAUUACAAAAAUUAAUCUAACAUCUUCCUCAAAAUGGGCCUCUUCAAAAGCCUCUCCAUUUCCUCCUUGCUUCUCAUCACCCUCUUCUUCACCUCCGCCCAUGCAGCCAUUUUCAAUAUCCAAAACCGUUGUUCCUACACAGUUUGGGCAGCAGCUGUGCCGGGUGGGGGUAGGCGCCUCGACCCGCGUCAGUCCUGGAGCUCGACUGUGAACCCUGGGACAACUGGAGCCCGUAUUUGGGCCCGGACCGGCUGCAGCUUCGAUGGGGCUGGGCGUGGGCGUUGUCAGACCGGGGACUGCGGUGGCGUCCUCGAAUGCACAGCCUAUGGUGCACCCCCCAACACCUUGGCUGAAUUCGCACUUAACCAGUUCAACAACCUGGACUUCUUUGAUAUAUCCUUGGUCGAUGGGUUUAAUGUGCCUAUGGCUUUUAGCCCCACCUCCAAUGGGUGCUCCCGUGGAAUACGGUGCACGGCCAACAUCGUGGGACAGUGCCCCAGUCAGCUUCGAGCUCAGGGUGGCUGCAAUAACCCAUGCACCGUUUUCAAGACCGAUCAGUACUGUUGCAAUUCCGGGAGCUGUGGCCCUACAGAUUACUCAAGGUAUUUCAAGACUAGGUGCCCUGAUGCUUACAGCUACCCUAAGGAUGAUCAAACCAGCACCUUUACAUGCCCUGGUGGUACCAACUAUGAUGUUAUCUUCUGCCCAUAAAGCCUCUAUUAACUAUAGUAUGCAUGUACUCGCUAGUCUAAACUACUAGGGUGCUUUUGAGUCCAUGUUGAGAUGCAAAAGCCUAGAGGAAUAAAUUUGAGCACAUGUAUGUGUACUACAUGUGAUCAUGUAACAAAAUUUCUAAGCUAGUUAAAGAAAUGGAUGUUUUUACGAGGGAUUUUAUCGAUAUUAUUAAGAAUGUGUUUUAUAGUGAUUUUAUGAAAUGUUUUUAAUUUUUUUUUAUAUUUGAAAGAUAAAAAGUUUUAAAUGUUAAAAAAAACAAAAAUAUUUUCUAAAAUUAUUAUUAAAUACAUUCUAAAAGUGGAUUUAAUAAUGAUUCUAAAAAAAUUUUAUAAUUAAAUAUGAAAAUUUUGAAGUAUUAAAAAAAACUAAAAAUAUUUUCUAAAAUUAUUAUCAAAUAUAUUCUAAAUAAUGUAGGACCUAAUAGAGAAACACUUUUGCAUAAGAAUUUUAAACAAAUAAAAAAAUAAAAAUCAUUCCAUCAAAAUAAUUCUAACUUUCUUUUUGUCUAAUUGGAUUCCAAGUAAGCUCGGUUUUUGUCCGCAAGACCAAUUGUUAAUUUAGUCUUUAGACCACUAGAAUGGAGGUUUCAAGGAAAAAAAAAAAAAAGGGUUUGACUGUGAGCAGUGCUUUGCUGACUGACCUCACUCCCAAAUCAAUUUUCCAUGUGGUGGAAGACGCCUUCCUUAAUGGGUAGGAGGCUGUUAAUGGAGAGUUUGGACUUUGGGGAGAAAUUGAUUGUUUCCCCACUCACUUUCAAUUAUAUCCAUGUACAUGUAAAAAUAUAUAGGAAAAGAAAAAAAUUUAAAAUUUUUCGUCAAAAGCAUCUCCUUCCAAUUGUUAUAUUAAAUAUUUUAUGAUUUCAAAUCUUUUCUGGUUUAAGUUUUGAAUUUACCCUAAUAAGUUUGCCCUUUUUUUUUCUGUCCCUAUUUAAUAUAUAUAAUUAUGUAGAUUUUCCAUUUUGUCUUUCAUAGUACAUAAUUUUGAUAAUAUUUAAUGUCUUUUGCUUGGUUCCCUGCAUAGCAUGUGCGUAGGAUUAUUUUUGGCUUUUAAAUCUGCUUGCAGCCUUCAUUGAACCGAAGUGGAUAGGAAGGGCUUGACUUGUUCGUAUACUCAGAGGGCACUCAACUCACUAGCAAUGCCCCACCAAAGUCGCGUGCAUUGAAUUGUAAAAUCGAUUGACUUUUCACUUUUACCUCUUAAACAAAAGGACACCUUCUCACUCCUUCCAAAUUUUUGAAAAAGAUAUAUAUAUAUAUAUAUAUAUAUAUCUAAAAACUGAAUUUAAUUAGAUUAUUUAUUAGAAAGGUUGGGUCAUCAUUCAUAACACUUCUCAAUACUCGUAUAUGUACUGUUUUUACUAAAUGAAUGAAAAGAAGUAUGAUGAUUAAUUAAUUAAUCAUGAAUAUUAAGAUUAAGAAGAUAAAUCAAUAUAUAAAAAAAAAUAAUCAAAUCAAAAUAAUGCACAAAAUAAAUGACAAGAAAAUUUUACAAAAUAAUUUAUUAAACAAAUUUAAAAUAUAUAUAUUUCAAAAAAUUAUUUUUUUAAGAAUUUCAAAAAAAAAUUAUUAAAAACAAUUUCGAAUAAAUAAUUUCAAUUUAUUUUUUAUUUUUAAAAAAUUUCAAUUUAUUUCCAACAAGUGAUUUGAUUUAAUUUUAUUUAUAUUCAAUUUUUAUUUUUAAGAAAAAUAAUUACACUUAUUUUAUCAAAUGAUUUUUUUAAAAAAAAGGAAAAUUCAAUUCCACAAUAAAAAUGAUUUUUACAUGCUUUUAUUAGAAAAAAAAAAAAGAAUUUUUACAACUUUAUUUUCAAAAAUAUUUUAAUUUAAUUUUAUUUACAAAGAAUUAAUUUCUUUACAAUAAAAUAUUUUCAAUCCAAUUUUAUCAAGAAAAUUAUUUUUACAACUUCAAUUUGCAAAAAAAACUUUCAUUUUAUUUUUAUUAAAAUAUUAUUCAAGACAUUUAUUUAUGAAAAUUAGUUUUAAUGUCAUUCUAAUUAAGGAAAGAUAACUUAUUUAAAUUUUUUGGAUAAUUUUAUUAAAAAAACCUUUUGGACAAUUUCAUUUAAAAAUCAAUUUUUUUGAACAAUUUUAAUUAAACAAAAUAAAUUUUAGACAAUUAUUAAAAACAAUUUUUAAAAAUUUUAAUUAAAAACAAUUUUAGAAUUCCUUUAAAAACAUUUUUUGAAUUUUUUUAUUAAGCAAGCUUUCUUUUAUUUAAAAGAAUCAUUUUAGAACUAUUAUUUUAUUAAAAAAUAUUUAUUAAAUGGUUCCUCUUAUUUAAACAAAAAUUUUGGGUUUGAAUCAAUACAAAUAAAAUCAGAUAAAAGUGAAAAUAAAAUGUAUAUCCAACAAGCCUACAACUCUUUUUUCUUCAUGAAAUUCAACCUUUCAUGUGUCGCGAAUCCAUACUUAGACAGAAUACCAAUGCAAGUAGUGGAAUGGGCCAUGAAAAACGAAAAUUAGUCCAAAAGUAAGUAUUUGAAAAUAUGCAAAAUCCAAAAUAAAUAUUCAAACCCAAAUUCUAUAAGCCCAAUAGGAAAAUUCAAAUUGGUCCAAUGAAUUUCACCAAUGAAAAUAAAUCAAAUUAACAAGUAUAACCCAACAAAAAUAUCUCAUUUGUUAUAAGCAUUAGUUCAAAAUUUUCAAAUUAAUAACCAAAAUCUAAUAUCCAUCAACAAGCCACAAAUCAAAAUAAUCUCAAUUAAGCCUAAGCCCAAUUUAAUACGCAAACUCAAAUUCAUAACCAAAAUCAAACCCAAUUUAAUAUACAUACCUAAAUAAUAUCUAAAAUAUAUCACAAUAUUAUCUCAUACCCGAAUUAAAUAAUUCAUGAGCAAAACCUAUAUCAAAUGUCAAUCAAUCCAAUAAAUUUUACCAAUAAUAAAAUAGCUUAAAUUUCAUAUUAAUUAAUAAACUCAGAACAUGAUAAAUCAAAAUAAAUUGAAUCAAACAUAAAUUCAAUAUCUUAUAAUUCAAGCCUAAUUGAAUAUUCAAAUCCAAAAUCCAAUAAUCACCAAAUCCAAAUACAACAUAAACUAACAAACCCGAAUUUAUAUGAAUACAAAUCAAAAUAUAAGGUCCAAAAUGAUCCAGAUUAUCUAAGCUUACAAAUAAUGUCUAAAUGCACACAUGAAAAUAAUAAAAAUUAGCCCAAACCAAUAAUCUCAAUAAUCAAGAACAAAUUAUUGUAGUGAUUAAACAGAAAUAAUAAAAAUAUAAGGAUAUAAACUUACCCAUGAAGAACCCAUUAUAGUAAUUAAACAUAAAUAACAAAAAUAAAAGAAAAUAAAUUUGCCCAAAUUUGAAGUAUGUUGUUGAAGGGUUGAUAUAGGCUAAUGAAAAUAAAAAUAAAAAUAAAAUGAAAGAAGAUAGAGAGGGAAAGAAAGAGAAAAUGGUGAGAUGAAAGACAGGUGGAAAGGGAGAACGAAAGAGGAAAGGGGGUCGCCGGCCGGCAGCAGAUCACCGAUGGAGACGGACCAACUGUGUUGUCGAUAGUGAGGGUUGAGUGAGUGUGGUGAGGGAAAAAUGAAGAAGAAAAAUGAAGAGAAGAAAAAAAAAAAAAGAAGAAAGGUGGGGCAUGUUCUCUGGAAGUGGGCCAAGAGGGGAGAAAAAGCGGGGAAAAAAAGGGAAAAAAAGAAGAUGAAAGAAAAUGAAAGAAAAGAGAGGAAAAUGGAAAUGGAAGAGAUGAGAGCGGGGGAUAUGGGGUCUCUGACGUGGGAAUGGGCAGGAGAGAGAGAGUUGAGGGAGUGGGUGGAGUAGGUGAGAGAAAAAGAAAGAAAAGAAAAUAAAAGAGGGAGGGAAGGAAGGAAAUGAGAAAAAAAGAAGAAGUAAAAUAAAAUUAGACAAAAUAAUAAAAAAUAAAAAAAUAAAAAUUAACAUUUAAAAUAUAUAAAUAGGUUAAAAAAAAUAAAACUAAGAUUUAAAAAAUAUAAAUGGACCAAAAAAUUUAAAUUUCGAUUUAAAAGGUAUAUAUGGAUAAAAAAAAAAUUCAAAUGUAAUCCAUUUGAAAUAUAAUAAUAAAAUUAAACAUAAAAUUAAUGUAAAAAAAAAAAUAGAACAAAUUUUAAGAUUACAAAAAGUAUAGGGCAUGGUACAAAUUUAUUUUUAUUAUUUAAAUAAAAAAAGAUUAUCUAAAAACAUUACUUUAUUUUUUAAAAUAAGAAAUAAUUUUUAAGAAUUUAUUCUUGAAAUGAGGAGAGUGUUUAGAAUAUUUUUUUCACUUACUUUCUAAAAAAAUAUUAUAAAAAUUAAAUUAAUAAAUAUGCAGAAUAAUUAAAAGUAAAAUGUUAUAUACAAAAGUUAUUUUAAAAAAUAUAUUAACAAAAAUCAAUUUUCUAAACGGACUUCUUCUAUUAAAAAAAUAUUAAAAAUGGUUUGAAGCAUAUAUUCAAAAGUCAUCUUUUGAGAGUAGAUUUCAAAAAUAUUUCCAAAUAGAUUUUAACAUAUCAUUUCAAAGUGAUUCUAAUUAAAAUAUUUUGAUUUAUACUUUUUUAUUCAAAAUAUUUUGAUCAACUUUUAAAUAUAAAACCAAUUCAAAAAUAUCCUCAACACAUUAUUUAAUCAUAAAAAUUCUCAUAAAUUUUUUAUUCUUCAAAUACUUUCCAACAAAUAGUCAAAGUCACAUGCAAACUCUUCCAACAAAUUUCAAAUGCAAGCCACAUACAUAUGCAACACUCCUUAACAUGAUUCGUAAGAAUAAUUUCUCAAUGACACAAAUUUCAAUUUCUACUAAAUAUCUAUAUCAAAAUAAAUAGAAAAAAAAAUUCAAGAUAUCCAAAGAUGAUCACACCUAUUUCAGUUAAUUGUUCUUCCAUUCAAUUUAUAUCCACAAGUAAUAAAUGAAAACUAAAACUGGAAAUAAAUCAAAGAAUAUAAUAAGAAUAAAUAAAUAAAUAAUGAUAUCAGAAUUUACAUAAAAAACUUUCAAAAAGAUUAAAAAAACACGGACUUACCAUCAAUAAAAAAUUCCACUAUAAAAAAUAAAUAAUGUGUACAACGAUUUACCUAACUCAAAUCUUUUAAUCUUUCAUAGACUUAACCAACACUUUCUCACUUCAAUAGCAUAUCCUCAUCUUUCAUAAUAUACUUGGCCUUUUCGUUAUACUUGAUCUUAACCUCUUCUUAAAGCUUGUUUAAGAAGAAAAAUAGGUUUUUACCCAAACCCAAAUAGAUCAAAAAUUGAGAGAAUGAAUGAAUAAAUAGAUUAACCUUUUUUUUUUCUCAAGAAAAUUUAUUGAAAGCGACUUUAAAAUCAAUAAGAAAAUGAGAUUUUCUUGACCACCAAACACUGUAAAUUUGGUAAGAAAAAAAAAGUACAAGGGCAAAAUAACUAUAUAUAUAUUUUAUUUUGUUAGAAAAAAAAUUUGAUAUAAAAAGUAGUUUUAGUGCUACAAAUAUAUCUCUAUAUAUAUAUAUAUACUCUUAAUUGAUAUCUUCUUCAAAAUGGUCCCCAUACUGUGUUCUAGCCACGACAGAUAAUACGAUUGAGAUUAACGAGACGGCGCUUAGAUAAUUCUUGUGUACGUGGAAUGAAUGGAUGGGAAUUCUUGAAUACUUAAAUACUUGACUAGUUCAAUGUUCACAUUUAUCCAUCCAGAAACAGUGGGCUUCAAGGUGCUUUCCUUAGCCCAUUGGGCCCUGCCAUCUACCCUGUGCAGCCCCGUUAGCUGACUUGCUUGCGUCUAUGGAAUGAAGUCAAGCACGAGGGCACAAAGAUAUAUGACGCCAUUCUUUGGAAUUUAAUAAAAGCUGUUUCCCAUUUCUCCGCCGCCCCCACCCUAUAUAAACCCCUACCCAUUUACUCGUAAACCACCAUCACCACUACAAAGCCUGUCUUCCUCAAAAUGGGCCUUUUCAAAAGCCUCUCCAUUUCCUCCUUCCUUCUCGCCACCCUCUUCUUCACCUCCGCCCAUGCAGCCAUUUUUAAUAUCCAAAACCAUUGCUCCUACACAGUUUGGGCAGCAGCUGUGCCGGGUGGGGGUAGGCGCCUCGACCGGGGACAGUCCUGGAGCCUGACUGUGAACCCUGGCACAACUGGAGCCCGUAUUUGGGCCCGGACCGGCUGCAGCUUCGAUGGGGCUGGGCGUGGGAGGUGCCAGACCGGGGACUGCGGUGGCGUCCUCCAAUGCACAGCCUAUGGUGCACCCCCCAACACCUUGGCUGAAUUCGCACUUAACCAGUUCAACAACCUGGACUUCUUUGAUAUAUCCUUGGUCGAUGGGUUUAAUGUGCCUAUGGCCUUUAACCCUACCUCCAAUGGGUGCACCCGUGGGAUACGGUGCACGGCCGACAUCGUGGGACAGUGCCCCAGUCAGCUCCGAACUCAGGGUGGCUGCAAUAACCCAUGCACCGUUUUCAAGACCAAUGAGUACUGUUGCAAUUCCGGGAGCUGUGGCCCGACAGAUUACUCAAGGUAUUUCAAGACUAGGUGCCCUGAUGCUUACAGCUACCCUAAGGAUGAUCAAACCAGCACCUUUACAUGCCCUGGUGGUACCAACUAUGAUGUUAUCUUCUGCCCAUAAAGCCUCUAUUAACUAUAGUAUGCAUGUACUCGCCAGUCUAAACUACUAGGGUGCUUUUGAGUCCAUGUUGAGAUGCAAAAGUCUUUGUAAGGAAUAAAUUUGAGCACAUGUAUGUGUACUGAAUGUGCUCAUGCAACAACUUUUCUACGCUAGUAGAAUAAAUGGAUGUUUUUAUGAAUCUUCGGGACUUUACACAUAUUAUUAAAUCAUGUAGGACCUGGUAUAGAAGCACUUUGCGUGCAAAUAUAAGAAUUUUUAAAAAAUAAAAAAUAAAAACCAUUCUAUCAAAAUAAUUCUAAACUUUUUUUGUCUGGUGGGAUUGCACAUGAAACAUCACUUUGAAAAAGAUGGAAAAUAUUUAUAAAAAAAAACUAACUCAUUUUUCCAACGGUUGAAUUCAAUUUAAAUAACAAAUCCAUCAUUAUAAAGUAAAAAAUAAAAUUGUUUUUUCAAAAAUCAAGUUUAAUAUUAAAACAAAACAGAUAAGAGAUUAAAAACAAAAGUUAUAAAACCGACAAGAGAGAAGAAUGGAAUGUGGUAAAAAAAAAACAUAUUUUGUAUUUAUUUUUAAAUAACAGUUUUUAAUGUUUUAGUAAUGGUUUUAAGAUGCGUUUUUAAUAUUUUUUAAAAAAUUUAAAUAUAAAAUAAUUAAAAAUACUUUUUAAAAUCGAUGUGAAACGCGUUAUUAGACUUUUUAGACCAUACAGGUUUUAGGGAAAAAAACAAAAUAAAGAAGAUUUGAUUGUGAGCAAAGCUUUCAAUUUUCCAUGUAGUGGAAGAAGCCUUCUAUAUGGGUAUUUUAUUUUGUCCUCAUAACAUGAUAUUUAUCAUAUUUGGUAUCUGCAUAGUAUAUAUACAAAAUUCUUUUUGAUUUUUCUACUCUUUGCACUUCUUAGUGGUCUGUCUAUUACUUUUAUAUAUAAUAAAAGUCAAUAACUAAAUGUAGAGAAUUUUUUGCGGGUCCAAACAUCACAUGGUUAGUUCAUGGAGUUGCUUUCGGAGAGGCCUGAACCACCCACCAGAGUUGAGCUUAUCUCUUCGCUUUUACAUCUUAAAUGACACUAGAAAAAGGUAUAUGGCAUAGUAGAAAACUAUUUUUAAAAAUAUUUUUUAUUAUUUAAAUAAAUAAAAAUUUACCUGAAAAUUUUUAUUAUUAUUUUAAAUAAGAAAGUGUUUAGAAUAUUUUUUCACUUAUUUUCUAAGAAUCAUUUAAAAAAUUUAAUUAUAUAAAUAUUGAGAAGAGUUGAAAAUAAAACAUUACAUAUAAUUUUUAAAAAUAUAAAAAUUUAUUAAAAAUAUUUCAAGUUUCUAAACAUGCUUCUAGUAAAAAAAAAAAUUAAAAAUUGUUUGAAACAUAUUUUCAAAAAUUAAUUUUGGACAACAGUUUUAAAAAAUAUUUCCAAAUAGACCAUGAAAUAUCAUUUCAAAAUGAUUUUAAUUAAAGUUGUGCAGAGUAUUUUAACAAUGAUAUGGACCUUAUCUGGAAAAUAUUUUAAAUAAAAAAUAUAUUUUUAUUUAAAUUUGUGCCAGUGUAUUUGCUUACAAGUUUAUUUAUUAUCACGUUUCAGAAAAAACAUCAGCUUCAGUUGAUAAGUUUUGAAAGAUACUUCGUAGUGGACCCACAUGGAUCACGAAUCCAUCUAAAACCCAACAUUUAUGGGCUUUCCAUGACAUUGGGCCCAGUCACGUCACGUGUCUUUUAAGUGGAAAAUAAACUUUGAAGCGGUUGCUUCUCAGUAUUUUAAAUGAUAAAUGAUGAUAUUAUCGAAAAUAGUCCCAGUCUCAGAAUAAUUGAAGCGGCCAAUCAUAUUGGAAUAAUUCAACAGGCUGUCUCAUUGAAUUUUGAAAUAAAUUUUUCCAACGUCAUCCACCGACGUUUUUCUCAUUCAGCAUUCGGUAUUUAUGAAUUUACAUAAAAGUUAAGGCAAAUUUCUGAAAUUAUAAAAAAUAAAAAUAAAAAUGAUAAUGACGUGGGGCCUCGUCUCUGCAAAAUAUUUUAAAUAAAAUUAUUUAUUUUCUAAAAACAAACCUUUUUCAUUUAAAAAAAAAAAAUUAUUGGCUUUUGAUGAUAAGGUUUGAGGAAAAAAAAGGCCACCCCGCAUUGACUCUUUCUUUCAUGCCUACGAGCCACAACGAAGUGGACCACAAAGAUGAUGCCAUCAUUUGGAAUUUUUACAAGCACGCGGUUUUUCCACAUUCACACCAACCCAAGCCCUCCUUCACACUAUACAAACCCCUACCCUUUUCCUGGAUAGACCACCCUACUCCAACCAUCAAGCCUAUCUUCCUCAACAAUGGGCCUCUGCAAAAUCCUCUCCAUUUCCUCAUUCCUUCUCACCACCCUAUUCUUCACCUCCAGCUAUGCAGCAACCUUCAACAUCCAAAACCGUUGCUCCUACACAGUUUGGGCGGCGGCAAUCCCAGGCGGGGGCAUGCGGCUUGGCUCAGGCCAAUCCUGGAGCCUCGAUGUGAAGGCCGCCACCACCGGAAGCCGUGUUUGGGGCCGUACCGACUGCAGCUUCGAUGCGUCAGGGAAUGGGAAGUGUGAGACCGGGGACUGUGGUGGCCGCCUCCAAUGCAAGGCCUAUGGUACACCCCCUAACACCUUAGCCGAAUUCGCACUUAACCAAUACAGCAACUUGGACUUCUUUGAUAUAUCUUUGGUUGAUGGAUUUAAUGUGCCUAUAGCCUUUAAUCCUACUUCCAAUGGGUGCACCCGUGGCAUCAGUUGCACCGCCGACAUCGUGGGAGAGUGCCCCGCUGCGCUAAAGACUACCGGUGGUUGCAACAACCCAUGCACCGUUUUCAAGACCGAUGAAUAUUGUUGCAAUUCUGGGAGCUGUAAUGCUACAGAUUUCUCAAGGUUUUUCAAGACUAGGUGCCCUGAUGCUUAUAGCUACCCUAAGGACGAUCAGACAAGCACCUUCACAUGCCCUGGCGGUACCAAUUAUGAAGUUAUCUUCUGCCCAUCAGCAGUGCCACAAACAUGUGUUUUUAUUAUAAAUUAAUUUGUGGUAAAAAAAACAUUUUGUGUUACAAGAUUUUUUUUCCACAAAAAAAUAUUUCCGACCAGUUUGUUGCUACAAAUUCGUAAACAAUUAUUUUUAAUCACAAAAUUUAAUUUUAUAAUAAAAUAAAUAAUUUUUUCAUAAAAUAAAUUUUAUAACAAAAUAUCAAUAUUCACCAUUAAAUAAAAUUUAUGAUAAAAUGUCAUUUUUCACCGUAAAAUAAAAUUUGUGACAACACAUCGUUUUUCAUGAAAAUAAUUACGAUAAUAUGCGACUUUUUUGUUAUAAAAAAAUUCAUGAUAAAAAAUUACCCUUCUACCAAAAAACAUUAAUUGUAACGGUCCAAACCACUGGUCUUGACAAGGAAAUAUGACAUACAGUCAAGGAGGGUUUGCUUAAAAGUCAUUAUCCUACUUGGAAACUACCUCCCUUAUUGGGGUACAUGGCAUUUUUUUAAUAAUAUUUGACUCACUUUUCCGGGAAACCUAGUUGUAGAAGUCCAAACAGGUUGCUUUUCAGGGGAAUUCACGGCAUAAAUAGAAAAGAAAGUUGCCAGAAAUGCCCUAACUGAUUAAAAUCAUUACCUUUAAUUGCAGAGAAUUAUGUCUAUCAAUUAAAUAAAUUAUAAAUAUAUGUUUGAAUUGAUUUUUAAGAAAUUGAAUGGUUUUUUAAGUUCAAUAAGAAUUUUAAUAUUGAUUUAACUAAUUUUAUUUAAAAAGCUUAUGAUUUAAAAAAUAGUUUUAUAUGAUUUAGAUAAGAAAUUAUUUAAUAUUUAAUAUAAGUUUUAUAAUACUAAUAUUAUGUAUUAAAAAUUAUGAUUUUGGUUGGACUCUCAACAUUUAGUUAAAUCUAAAAGUAGAAAACUAUUUCAAACAAAGUCAUGUUUUCUAUUUCAUUAUUAAUUAAUAUAUAUUUUUUUUAAUUCGGAUGUGAAAAGGUGUUUCAAAGUUUAAGAUUGUCUAAUAUUUUAAAUCAAAAUCUCAAUACUUAAAUUAAAGAAAAAUUUAGAUCGUAUUUAUUUGUUUAAUUGAAUAGAAAAAAUUAAAAUAUUUAAUUUUUUUAAUUUUAAUUAAAAGUAAUCUAUUUAUAUUAAUCAAUAUAACGAAAUCGAAUAUAUUGAUAAUAAAUUUACUUUAAAUAUCUUAAUUGAUAUUAAUAUAUUACUUGAACUGAAAAAACUAAAAAGCAAAAAAUAAACUCCACACUUAAAAAGAUUCUGGGCCAUGGAUACAGAAGCCCAAAAGAUUUAUUGAUGGGGGCAGUGGGCCUGGCCUGCCGUGUGCAGCUGCAUUUGUUUGACUUGUCCUCAAGCCUAGUCAACGUCUCCGUUCAAUGAAGCUGAUGUAUCGAAAAAUCCCAAAAAGCCUCAUUUUUCCCGCCAAACGCGUAAACCCCAAAAUGAGUUUCUUCUGCAACUGCAGCAAUCUCUCUACUUCCUUCUUCCUCCUCAUCUUCAUCAAUGCAACCAUUUUCGAAAUCCGAAACAGCUGCCCCUAUACCGUCUGGGCAGCCGCCUUACCCGGCGGCGGAAGGUAACUCGACCAAGGCCAGACCCGGAACCUUUCAGUGAGCUCCAACACAACCCAAGGCCACAUCUGGGGCAGAACCAAGUGCAGUUUCGAUGAAGCCGGAAGGGGGAACUGCGAGUCCGGUGGAUGUGGAGGCCUCCUUGAAUGCCAAGAAUAUGGUUCACCGCCCAACACCAUUGCCGAGUACGCCAUAAACCAAUUCAACAAAACUGAUUUCUUCGAUAUUUCUCUGGUGGUUGGAUUCAACCUUCCAAUGGAGUUUAGCCCAACUUCUGAUGGGUGCAAACGUGGGGUCAAGCGUACGUGCGACAUUAACGGGCCGUGCCCAAACGAGUUGAGGGACCCGGGUGGGUGUAACAACCCAUGUACCGUUUUCAACAAUACUCAGUACUGUUGCAAUACCGGGAGCUGUUAGCCUACACCUUCAUGUUUUUCAAGGCUAGCUGCCCAGAUGUAUACAGUUACCCUUUGGGAGAUGAUUCAAUCGGUACGUUUACCUGCGCCGCAUGCACUAACUAUCGUAUAGUCUUCUCCGAGUUUUGGGGUAGCCCAAAGUUUAAACCUUUUUGCAAAACUUACAAUCAAACUCGUCCUUUUUAUUAUCACCUAGAGUCAUAUUAUGUUUUUUUUUUCAAAAUUUAAGUUGAAAAUUUUAUUUUUGAAUUGAAGCCAUAAUUAAUAACCAAGACUUCAUUUUGAACGGAAACCUCAUUUGAUAAGUGAGACUUAGUUUUUUAAUUAAAACCUCAUUUUGACAAUUAAAACUUCAUUUAUUAAACUAAAACCUUAAUUGUGACUUUAGUUAUUUUUUUUACUUUAAAAUUUAAUUAAAAAUAUUAAAUUUCAAAUUAUUAUUGAAAUUAAAAAUAUUUACUUUAAUAAUAAAAAAUUAUAUAUUUAAGUUUAAGGAUUCAACAUUAUUCUAAUAAAGAUAAAUUGAUAAAUAAAAUAAAUAAAUGAAUAAUUUUAUUUAUCAAUAAAUUAAUAAUUUUAAAAUAAUAAAGUUAUAUAAUAUAUAAAUAAAAUAUAAAAUUAUAUAAUUUAUUAAUUUAAGUUAUAUUACAAAUACUAUAUGUUACCGGGCAACUAAAAAGGAAGAAAGUUAUGUAUAGGUUCUCUCUUUGUAAAGACACGUAAGAUUAUAUAAUUUUCUUUUUUACUAUAUGAAUAUUUAGUAAACAAUUUUUGUGACAUAGAUGAAACUACUAAAACUUAUAUUUUGUAGUAAACAUUUUUUAAUUAAUUUUAUUAGCUAAUUUUAAAAUGUAUCUUCAAGGCAUAUAUGUUGUGGGUAUAAAUAAUAAUUUUUUUUUAAUGAAAAAUUAUAAACAUAUACUUUAAAAUAAUAAUAAAAUCUAUAUAUAAAAGCUUAAGAAUAUACUAUUAUUUUAAUAAAGAUAAAUUUGUGAAAAUACAAAUAAAUUAAUAUCUUAAAAAUAAAACAAAUUAAAUAUCUUAAAUUAAUAAAUUAUAUAAUUUUAUAUCUUAUUAUAUUUAUCAAUUUAUCUUUAAACCUAAGUCCUAAGUCCAAGGUUUAAAUAUUUUAUUAUAUUUAUUAAUUUAUCUUUAUUGAAGUAAUACUAGAUUUUUAAGUUUAAACAUAUAAUUAAUUUAUUAUUAAAGUAUAUAUUUUUAAUUUCAACAAUAAUUUAUAAUUUAAUAUUUUAAUUAAAUUUUAAAGUAAAAAAAUAAUUAAUUGAAGCUUCAAUUGAAAAUUAAGACUUUAAUAAAAAAAUGAAGUCUCAAUUAUCAAUUGUGAAUUCAAUUUAAAAAUGAGGUAUGAUUUGACAAUUAAGGUUUCAGUUUAUAAAUGAAACCUUAAUUGUCAAUUGUGGUUUUAGUUCAAAAAUAAACCCUCAAUUGAUAAUUGAGGUUUUACUUAAAUUUUAAAAUAUAUAUAUAUUAUGAUACGACUCUUAUGUGACAAUAAAGGACUAGUUUGAACAUAAAUUUUAUAAAAAUGUUAAAUCUUACAUUUCUUUUUAUACAAGCUUAUUUAUUUUUGUUUCUUAAAAAAAAAAAAAUUAUCAGCUUCCCUUGAUAAGAUUUGAGGAAAAACAAAGAUGAGGUAGGAUUGGCUCUUCCAUGCCUCUAAGUCGAGCACCAUCUUUUAGAUUUUAACAAAGCUUAUUGCUAAAAUAUUUUCAUUUAGGGUCAUUAACUUUAACUUAGGGUUCAUCGAGGAACUUUUUCAGAAAUAAUUCUUAAAAAGUAAUUCUCAAGAAUAACUUUUAAAAAUAAUAUUUUAAUAUUUUUAAAAUAAAAAGUUUUGAAGAGCUUAGAAUAUUGUCAAUUUUUUUUUAUAUUUUUAAAUAUUUCUUAAAAAUAAUUCCUAUUUAUAAUACCUUAUUUUAAGACAUUCUUCGUGUUUAUUCAAUAAUUCCUAAAAAGUAAUUAAAAUAUAAUAUAUGUAAAAAAAAUCACUUUUCAUAGUUUUAGUUUUAAAUUUAUAAUUAACAAUCGAAUGUGUUUUUAUACUUUUUUUAUUCUAAAAACCAAAAAGAUAAAUCCUUAAUAGAAAUUUUCAAACAUUGUUUUAGUGUCCCACCCCAAGUCCACCUUCGCUCUAUAUAAACUCCUAGCCAUUUCCUCACGGACCACCCCAAACCAUAAAGCCCAUCUUCCUGAAAAAAUGGGCCUCUUCAAAACCCCUUUAAUUUCCUCAUUCCUUCUCACCACCCUAUUCUUCGCCUCCUGCCACGCAGCCACGCUGAUCAACAUCCAAAACCAUUGCUCCUACACAGUUUGGGCGGCGGCGGUACCAGGUGGGGGCAGGCAGCUUGGUCCGGGCCAAUCCUGGAGCCUCGAUGCGAACCCUGGCACAGCCCGUGUGUGGGCACGUACCAACUGCACCUUUGAUGGGUCAGGGAACGGGACGUGUGAGACCCGAGAUUGUGGUGGCCGCCUCCAAUGCCAAGCCUAUGGUACACCCCCUAACACCUUGGCCGAAUUCGCACUUAACCAAUUCAACAACAUGGACUUCUUCGAUAUAUCUUUGGUUGAUGGAUUUAAUGUGCCCAUGGCUCUUAAUUCUACUUCCAAUGGGUGCACCCGUGGCAUCCAAUGCAGCGCCGACAUAGUCGGACAGUGCCCUGAUGAGCUCCGAGCUCCCGGUGGUUGCAACAAUCCAUGCACUGUUUUCAGGACCGAUGAAUAUUGUUGUUAUUCUGGGAACUGUGGCCCUACAACUUACUCCAAGUUUUUCAAGGAUAGGUGUCCGGUGGCUUAUAGCAACCCUAAUGAUGAUCAAACAAGCACCUUUACAUGCCCUGGUGGUACUAACUAUGAUGUUAUCUUCUGCCCAUGAUGCCUCUACUAGUCCUGUUAGACGAUUUGGUACCAUCUUGGGAUCCAAAUGUCUAGAAGAAUAAAUUUGAGCACAUGUCCAUGUCCAUAGUCAUGUAAUAAGAUUUCUACCAUCAUAGAAAUCGAAUGAUUUUCAGAGGGGUUAGAAGCUUUGAAUAAUGUUUAAAUGUGCUUUACUUAUAAAAGUUUAGAACUAAUUCUUCAUAAAAAUAAUUUUGUCCAAGUGUUAUUGUUUAAGAGUUUAUUUGAUAUUGAAUUAUGAAAGUAUUUUGAAUUAUUUUAACAUUUAAAAAAUAAUUUUUCUUUAAAUAUUAAAAAAUUUAAAAAUGCUUCUUAUAAUUAUUAUCAAAUAAACUCUAAAUACUAUAUAUUAAAAACAUAAUUACUAGAAUGACCUCUAAAUGAAUUCAUAUUUUAAGUACACCGAGAAUGAUAGAAUUCAGUAAUGGUGUUUUAAAUUAAAUUGGUAAAUAUUUUGGGAUUUUCCAUUUGAAUAAUUUUUAGAAGUGAAUAAAUUAUUUUUCAGCUCUAACAUAAACAAAUCCUGUUAUUGUGGUGUGGAAAAACCUUUGCUCAAGAGUCAAGAGCGGUGGUGGAGGCUUGAGUUACGUACCCAAGUUGAAUUUUUGUAAAAGGAUGUGGAGGAGUAGAGUACAAGGAAAAUUGAUUUGCGGACAAGACCAGUUAGUUAGUGAAGCUUGAUUAAAGUCGAAGUUUUGGUGUUUUCUCCCAAGACUUCCUUUGUAGUGGUCCAAAAAAUUGGUAAGGAAAUAUGACAGACAUCGAAAGAGGAUUUGGCUAAAAGUCAAUAACUAUUUGGAGCUAUGUUCCCUUCUCGGGGCGAUGGCGUUUGCUAGUAAUCUUUGACUCGCUCUUCCCCGUAGCUUCCAUAGCAGUCCAAACCGGUUGCUUGUUCAAGGAAAACACCGUAUAAAUAAGAGGGAAGUGGCUAAAAGUCUAACUAAUUAAAAUCGUAGUCAUUUAUUGUGUGGAAUAGCGGGACACAUACGUAUUGAAGUUGAACUUGUCCAUCAAUUAAAUCUAAUACAAUUUUCUUUUUCAAUCCAACUAUUACGUAAUAAAUUUUAAAUUUCAAAUAUAUUUGCUUUUAAAAUUUACUCAAACCAAUUUAAUAACUUACAAAUAACUAAUUCAAUAACUUGGACUUCUUUAAUAUAGUAUUGUCCAAGCAUAUAUUUGAUAUGUCUUUAAUUUAUUUUUAAUUGUGCUUCUAAGCUACGUUUGGUUCUCGAAAAAUUUGAGAGAAAAUUUAAAAGAAAAAAAUUACAGAUGAAAAAAAAUAAAAAAUAGUUUAAAUAUAAUAAAUUAUAUUUGAUUUGAUUUUCUAUUUUUUUUUAUAGUGAAACAAAAUAUGAGAAAACCAUUUUUAUUAAUAUUUUUUUUCUUUAGAACACUUUCCAACAUAACUUACCAUUUAUUUUUUUGGUCAUGCAAAAGUUGAUGUAAAAAAUAUAGUUAGUCUCUCUUAUAUCAUUCAUUUGAAAUUGAGUAGAUUAAUGGUGUUUGUUUUUUUGGUUUUUUACUUAAAGCAAUUUAGUUUUAGAAUUUAGGUUGUUUGUUUUUCUACUUUUUCAUGACUUAUUAUAAACUUUUUACUAAAUAGAAAAAGUCAAAAUAUGUAGCUUUUUCUAAGUAGGAAAAAUAACAUAUUGAUUUUUUUUACUUUUUAAUACUUAAUAGAAAUAAAAUACUACAAAAACAAAUAACCUAAUAUUUAACACUAUUAAGCAUUAAGGUUCUAUUUAGAAUUAAGUAAAAAAACAAACAUCAUCUUCACACUAAGUAAUAACCCUAUAUUAGUCCUAAUAAGUAAUAAAAUUCCUCUACUAAUACAUGGUAUGGAUAAAAUAUUUACUAAAUUAACAACAUGAAUGUAAGUAAUUUAGAUAUUAGUAGGAUAUAUUUUUGUCUUAAUUAUUUAAAAAUAUAAACAUAUUUAUAUUAGGUUCUUGCUUUUUAUAAAUAUUAAUUCAACAUUUUUAGUAAUUUUUUUUUUAAAUUUAAUAAUUACAUAACCAAAAGUAAAAAAAAAAAAAAAUCAUUUUAUGAUGAUUUUUUGUCAAUUUUCAAUGAUUUCUUUCUAGUUCUUUGUUUUCAGUAGGUUAUUGAGUUAAUAAAGAAAUAAUGAAAUAUAAUGUGAUUGGGUUUUGGGUAUUUUUUUUUUUUAUAAUUUGUUUAAAAAAAAUUAGAUAAUAAAAAUAUCAUAUAUAUAUAUUUUGUUAUAAAAUUUUUAAAAGGAAAAAAAUUGUUGCUAAAUAUGAUUUUCAAAAACAUUUAUCACAAUUUUAAUUCAAAAAAUUGAAAAAUAAAAGUGUAAUGGAAGAUACUACUAAUGUAGUACAAGCAAUAAAUAUUUUUACCCUUAGUUGUGAAAAAUAUAGAGGAAAGAAAUUUUAUGAUGUCUGUUUCUAGAAGGUUGUAGGAAACCUGUUUGCCACGCCAGCCUAUUAAUAUUUUCUUCUUCGAAAAUUAAGAAAUUAUGGCAUUUUUUUAAAAAAAAAUUAUGCUUAAAAAUAGUUUUUUAUUUAGAAUAUAAAACUUAAAUUUAAAGAAAUUGAGAAUAUAUUCUAAAACUGAAUUAUCUUUUAGAAUAAAUUUAAGGGUUUUUUUUUAUUAUGUUCUAUUAAAUAAUAAUUAUUAAAAAUAUGAAAAUUAUUUUUUUUUAAAAAUAUAUUAUAUAUGUGUAUGUCAACUUUAAGAAAAAUAAAUAAAUAAAUAAAUAUAUAUAUAUAUAUAUAUAUAUAUAUUUUAUGUCUGAGAUUUUAAACAAAAUUUUAUUUAUAAAAAUAAUUAAAAAUUAUGUUUUGCCUAACAUGCCUAUGUUCUAGUCGUCUACGGAGUUGGUUCGGGAUGGCAGUGGAAAAUAUACUUUAGAUAUUUUCUCUUCUCUAUAGUCAGAUGCUUCUGCGUAUUUUAAAUGGUAAAGACCAAAACUCAAUUAUGAUAUUAUCGAAAAUAGACCCAGUCCAAAGUGGUCAUUCAUACUGGCAUAGUUCCAGGAAGGUGAUCAACAUCAGGGCUGUCUCAUUCAAGAAAGGAAAUUUGCACCCACGUUUUCUAGAUACAUUCCUACUGUUCUGAUGAUUCGGUAUGCACGAAUUUAUGCAAAGGUUAGGCAGAUUUCUGAAAAUAAUAAAAAUGGUAAUGAAGUGGACCCUUCUCUCUGUAAAAUAUUUUAAAUAAAAAAUACUUAUUUUUCUAAAAAUAAGUAUUUUCAAUAUGUAAUAUAUGUUUUAAAAAAAAAAAUUAAUUUACAAGCUUAUUUAUUUUUAUUUCUUAAAAAUAUUAUCGGCUUUUGUUGAUAAGAUUUGAGGAAAGAAAAAGGGCCACCUCACAUCGACUCUUCCAUGCCCGCAGGCCCCAACGAAGUCGACCACAAAGAUGACGCUAUCUUUUGGAAUUUUUACAGGGAGGUUUUUUCACAUACACACCAACCCAAGCCCACCUUCACCCUAUAAAAACCCCCACCCGGUUCCUCACAGAUCACCCCACUCCAACCAUCAAGCCUAUAUAUCUUCCGAAACUCAACAAUGGGCCUCUGCAAAAUCCUCUCCAUUUCCUCAUUCCUUCUCACCACCCUAUUCUUCACCUCCAGCUAUGCAGCUACGUUCAACAUCCAAAACCAUUGCUCCUACACGGUUUGGGCUGCGGCAGUCCCAGGCGGGGGCAUGCAGCUUGGCUCAGGCCAAUCCUGGAGCCUCAAUGUGAAUGCCGGCACCACUGGAGGCCGUGUUUGGGCCCGUACCAACUGCAACUUCGAUGCGUCAGGGAAUGGGAAGUGUGAGACCGGGGACUGUGGUGGCCUCCUCCAAUGCACGGCCUAUGGUACACCCCCUAACACCUUAGCCGAAUUCGCACUUAACCAAUACAGCAACUUGGACUUCUUUGAUAUAUCUUUGGUUGAUGGAUUUAAUGUUGCUAUGGCCUUUAAUCCUACUUCCAAUGGGUGCACCCGUGGCAUCAGUUGCACCGCCGACAUCGUGGGAGAGUGCCCCGCUGCGCUAAAGACUACCGGUGGUUGCAACAACCCAUGCACCGUUUUCAAGACCGAUGAAUAUUGUUGCAAUUCUGGGAGCUGUAAUGCUACAACUUACUCCGAGUUUUUCAAGACUAGGUGCCCUGAUGCUUAUAGCUACCCUAAGGACGAUCAGACAAGCACCUUCACAUGCCCUUCCGGGACCAAUUAUGAAGUUAUCUUCUGCCCAUAAAUCUAUUAUUUAAAUCAUAUGCUAGUAUGCCUCUACUGGUCUCAACUAUUAGGAGGCAAUGGUAUCCACCUUGGGUUCCAAAAGCCUAGAGGAAUAAAGUUGAGCCCAUAUUCGUGGUCAUGUAUUAAGAUUUCUACACUAGUCGAAGCAAUGGAUGCCUUUUUUUAUAUAGAUAUAUGCUAUCUUCUUCUUCUAAUCUCUGUGGUCCCUUCCAAGUAACAUUUCAUAUAGAUAUAUGAAUUUUAAUGAUUAUUCUUCUUCAGAAUUCUUUUUUUUUUUUUUUUUGAAAAUGAAAUUAAGCUUAACAUGAACAAAAUUCUGCUAUCAUGGUACGGAGAAAUCUUUGCUUGAGAGCGGUGGUUGAGGAUUGAGUCACCUACCCAAGUCAAAUUUUUGUAACAAUUAGAUGUUCAUCUUUAGAGUACUACAAGGAAAAUUGAUGUGAGGAUAAAGACCAGUUAACGAAGCUUGACUGACGUCAAAAUUUUAUUUUAUUUCCUUUUCUCUAAUCCUACCUUGUAGCGGUCCAAAUUAAUUGUCUUGACAAGGAAAUAUAACACAUAGCCAAGGAGGAUUUGCCUAAAAGCCAUCAUCCUGUUUGAAAACUACCUCCCUUAUUGUGCACAUGACACUUUUUCUAAGGGGAAUAAUCCAACCAUACAUUGGACCAAUAAAAUAAGUAUUUUUGGGAUUUUAUUUUUACCUUCACAAAUUGAGUGCGUAAAGUGCGGGGGAAAAAAACUCAUUCAUGCAUUUCAAUAACACUUGUGAAUUUAUUCCAAAAUUACAUUCAAAGUACACCUAUCAUUUUUUUUUACAUCAACUCUCUCACACCUCCAUUUCACCCGCCAUGUUCAUACGGUUUUUUUAUCUCUCACCAACAUAUUCAUAGUCUCAUGUAUUUUCUUAUAAAACAUCUUUAAUUUCAAUUUUUUUUUCACUCUCUAAUCUCUCCAUAUUUAUUGAUUUUAAUCAUUUUUUAGACACAUUAAACUUAAAAUGAUAAUAUAUAAUAAAUAAUUAAUAAUAAAAAAUUAAAUAAAAACAUAAUAUUUAAUGAACAAAAAUUAAAAUAUUAUCUCACAAAUAAUAUACUUGAUAAUUUUAAAUAUUAAUUAUAAUAAUGUUUAAGAUUUAAAUUUAAAAAUUAUGUUUUUAUUAUUUAGAGGCUUAUGAUAUAAUUUUUUUUAUAUUAAUACUAAAUAAAAGAUUUAUUGAUUUUGUAAAUCUUAUCAUACGUAAAAGUAAAAAAUAUCUUUGUAAUAUUAUUUUAUUAUUUUUAUUUUGAUAUAAAAUUUUUCAUUUGUAAUAUUAUUUUAUUAUUUUUAUUUUGAUAUAAAAUUUUUCAUAUCAAAAUCACAAUAAGUGAUAGUAGUUUUUUUUUUGUUAUGGUUUUAAUUGUGGUUUUAACUUUUUACUUGGUUAAAUUUUUUAAUUUUUUAUCAAGAUAAAAUAUAAAAGAAAAUAUGUUUUUUCAUAAAAAAAAAAUACAUUGUUUUAGGGAAAUUGAGAUACUUAUCUCUUUUAUCAUGAUGCAUAUACUCCUUUUGGAAUUCUCGGGAAGUGUUUUUAAAUUCUCUCCCACCUCGAAAAAGACUUUGAAACUUCAAGUAAGAAAAAUAAAUACAUCCUUUAAGAAAAAUGGAUUUUCUUUGAAUUGGUUGCCUCACAAUAUUUUAAAUGAUAAAGACUAAAAUUCAAUUAUGAUAUUAUCGAAAAUAGUCCCAAUCUAACGACUAGUCAAGAUAUUUGAAGUGGCCAAUCGUAUUGGAAGAAUUCCAGGAAGGUGCUCAACAGGGUUGUCUCAUUCAAAUAAGGAAAUUUGAAAUAAAUUUUCUCAAUACCAUGCACCCACGUUUUCUAGAUACAUUCCUACUGUUCUCAGAAUUGAGUGCUCAUGAAUUUACAUAGAAGUUAGGCAGAUUUCUGGAAAUAAUAAAAAUGAUAAUCACGUAGAACCUUGUCUCUGUAAAUUAUUUUAAAUAAAAAAUACUUAUUUUUCUAAAAAUAAGUAUUUUCAAAAUGUAAUAUAUGUUUUUUUUUUUUUUAAAUAAUAAUAAUUUACAAGCUUUUUUAUUUUUAUUUCUUAAAAAAAUUAUGGGCUUUUGUUGAUAAGAUUUGAGGAAAAACAAAAAGGGCCACACUACAUUGACUCUUCCAUGCCUACAGGCCACAACGAAGUCGACCACAAAGAUGACGCCAUCUUUUGGAAUUUUUACAGGACGGUUUUUCCACAUACACACCAACCCAAGCCCACCUUCACCCUAUAUAAACCCCCACCCAUUUCCUCACAGAUCACCCCACUCCAACCAUCAAGCCUAUCUUCCGAUCCUCAACAAUGGGCCUCUGCAAAAUCCUCUCCAUUUCCUCAUUCCUUCUCACCGCCCUAUUCUUCACCCCCAGCUAUGCAGCCACCUUCAACAUCCAAAACCAUUGCUCCUACACGGUUUGGGCUGCGGCAGUCCCAGGCGGGGGCAUGCAGCUUGGCUCAGGCCAAUCCUGGAGCCUCAAUGUGAAUGCCGGCACCACUGGAGGCCGUGUUUGGGCCCGUACCAACUGCAACUUCGAUGCAUCAGGGAAUGGGAAGUGUGAGACCGGGGACUGUGGUGGCCUCCUCCAAUGCACGGCCUAUGGUACACCCCCUAACACCUUAGCCGAAUUCGCACUUAACCAAUUCAGCAACUUGGACUUCUUUGAUAUAUCUUUGGUUGAUGGAUUUAAUGUGCCUAUGGCCUUUAAUCCUACUUCCAAUGGGUGCACCCGUGGCAUCAGUUGCACCGCCGACAUCGUGGGAGAGUGCCCCGCUGCGCUAAAGACUACCGGUGGUUGCAACAACCCAUGCACCGUUUUCAAGACCGAUGAAUAUUGUUGCAAUUCUGGGAGCUGUAGUGCUACAGAUUACUCAAGGUUUUUCAAGACUAGGUGCCCUGAUGCUUAUAGCUACCCUAAGGACGAUCAGACAAGCACCUUCACAUGCACUGCCGGUACCAAUUAUGAAGUUGUCUUCUGCCCAUAAAUCUAUUAUUUAAAUCAUAUGCUAGUAUGCCUCUACUAGUCUCAACUAUUAGGAGGCAAUGGUUUCCACCUUGGGUUCCAAAAGCCUAGAGGAAUAAAGUUGGGCACAUUUUCGUGGUCAUGUAACAAGAUUUCUACACUAGUAGAAGUAAUGGAUGUUUUUUUUUUUUAUAUAUAUAUAUAUAUAUAUAGAUUUAUGCGAUCUUCUUUCUUUCUAACCUCUAUGGUCCCGUCCAAGUAAUAUUUCAUAUAUAUUUUAUUCUAUAUAAUAUCUGCGGAUAAGAUCGGUUAAUGAAGCUUGACUAAAGUCAAAAUUUUAUUUUAUUUCAUUAUCCUACUU